UUUUUUUUUUUUUUUUUUUUUUUUAUCGAUACGAUAGCUUUUACAUUACGGGGAGCGGGAGGGCCUGAAGAGAUCUUGGAGUAAUCCGAAGGGGACUGAAUUACCACCGGACUAGACGGGCGUACUACGCACCCGUCUGAAUUUUUUAAAUAAAGUCACAUUUAAUUGUGACAAAUUUGUCUUCCACCCCACCAAGUCUUAAUGCAUUGAUGAUGACCACCAGCCUAGACGGAGGAGGACCAAAUAAACUCAAAGUGCUUAGCCACAGGUGUAUUUGGUUGAAUGGCAUUGUGUGAACCAUAUCGAAUCUUCCACUGCUACCUCACAAAAUGCAAAGCCCUCGUCCUUGGGUCUGCUUCCUCCAUUGUUUUUGACAUAUUCUCUUCCCGAAUUGUCCACAUAUCCAAAUUCCUUUCUUUUCUUUUUUUUUCUUUCCUUUUUCCUUUUAGCAUGAAUGAUGGAUAGCAAUAUCGGUGACCCGUACGUGGAGGAUGGACAUCUCUCAAAUUGCGUCCCUGAGAGGGAAACUAACAAUGGCUGCAAAAGCCAAGUUUGGUUUGUGAUAUAUAUAUAUAUAUAUAUCAGUACAACAGCAGAAGUUGAAAGCCACAAAAAGUGCAAAGAGAUAAUCGGAAAGUUAAAAAUCAAAGUUUAAUGGUUGCUUGUAAUUGGCAGAUGUUGAGACGCCACCAUCGUUCCUGUCCUCCUACUUUAGCAAUCAGAUAUUCUUAUUGGCUGUGAUUAUUUUUUCGGGUGUAAUUCUUGAUCAUUCCAACUGUCAAUUGUUAGAAGCAAAAUUUUUUUUGAGAGUGUCAAGUGAAACUAACAGAACCCUCUCCAAAAAAAAAAUAAUUUGUAUGCGACAUGGUAUGAUAUGCAUCUUUUCUAGUUUUCUGCUACAAUAAUUGGGAGUCUUUUUGAAUCAACAACCAGUCUUCUAUCUUUGUGGAGGAAAUAAUUUUGUCGGUGUCUUCUGGCUUUGUGGUUGGAGAACUUAAAUAGUAGUAGUACUACUACUAAGUGUAAGCAGCUGGUUUGACAAAGAGAAGCCAAGGAUCAUUUGUUUAAAAACACACAAUUGCAGGCAAGACCAGACACAGCACAUGAGAUUAGGUAUUUAGGUCGGGGUUGGCAUGACGAAAUGGUUAUGUUUGCAUGAUAUCAGCACCAAGAACUCCCAUCUGGAUAACGAGUACCAGUAGUCGCAAUUACAUUUACCUAUAGCCUGUAGCCUGUAGCCUGUAGCCUGUAGCCUGUAGCCAUCACCAUCACUGAUACUACACAUACCUUUGAGUCUGCGCACGUACGCCGGCAUGCGUUAAAUUCACCGCCAAUAAUCAUUAAUAUUAUUAUUGUUUCCAUAUUACAAAUAAGGAAAAAAAUUAUUGGUUAAUUAAUAACAUUUACCAAAAUAUUUCAAGUCACGUGGUCUUUUAAUUCCUAGUAUUUUUCUACAUAUAAUAACUGUAUUUUGUUACGAGAAAUGUUAUUUACAUUUCAAAUUUUGUUACUCAUAUAUACUCUUCCUAUCCUUUUAUCAUAUAAUUUUUAUUUAUUAAAUUAUAUGAUAAAAUAAACAACGAGAGUGCAAAUAAUUAAAGUAUAUGAUUUAACAAAUAGUGGGAAUAUAAAUAACGUUUAUUUUCCCUUUUGUUACAAAUAAAUGCGGUGUCUUGAUCCUACUUCGUAAUCACAUACCUAAUACAUACAUACAUAUAUAUAUAUACAUAGUAGUAUUAUAGUUUUUUGUAGAGUAAAUCUCUAGCAUUAAUGCAGACCAUCUGUAUGUAUAUAUAUAUAUAUACACUAGCUUGUUAUCCAACUCAUCUUGCAACCACUAUAGAGCAAGCUUCAUUCUGCGUUUUUCAUCUAUUGUAGCUAUAACUGAAAACUAGAGAAGAAUUGUUGAUCAGCAGAAGCCAAUUUAAGCCAUUUUCAAUGGAUCAAACACCCCGUGUAGCCCUCUUACCAUCUCCCGGGAUGGGUCAUCUCAUCCCGCUGGUGGAGUUUGCUAAGCGCCUUAUUCUCCAACACAACUUCUCAGUCACCAUAAUUCUCCCGACGGAUGGACCUCUCUCUAAGGCACAAACCACCUUUCUUGCUGCUCUUCCUGCUGCCAUCGAUUAUAUUCUUCUUCCUCCUGUUAACUUCGACGACUUAGCUGACGACGUUAGGAUUGAGACGCGUAUUUCCCUCACCGUCACUCGCUCUCUUCCUUCCCUUCGUGUUGCGCUCAAGUCUUUGGUUGACACCACCAAGUUGCCCGCUCUCGUGGUCGAUCUUUUCGGCACGGAUGCCUUUGAUGUAGCCAAUGAAUUCAAGCUCCCGCCAUAUAUCUUCUUCCCUUCCACCGCCACGGCUUUAGCGUUUUUCUCCUACCUGCCUAAGCUUCAUGAGAUGGUUGCAUGUGAAUUUAGAGACUUGCCCGGGCCAAUUCGAGUCCCGGGUUGUGUACCAAUUCACGGGAGGGAUCUCCUCGACCCGGCUCAGGACCGAAAGAACGACGCCUACAAGUGGCUGCUUCACCACGCGAGGAGGUACAGCCUGGCCGAGGGAAUCCUGGUGAACAGCUUCAAGGACUUGGAGCCUGGACCUUUAAAAGCGUUGCAGGAGCAAGAACCGGGUAAGCCACCGGUUUAUCCGGUUGGACCACUUAUACAGAUGGGCUCAGGGGACAGGAGGGGGGAGGAGUCGGAAUGCUUGAAAUGGUUGGAUGAUCAGCCCAGCGGGUCCGUUCUGUACAUUUCGUUUGGGAGCGGCGGGACCCUCUCCCAUAAUCAGCUAAUCGAGCUAGCAUUUGGAUUGGAGAUGAGCGAGCAAAGAUUCUUGUGGGUGGUCCGGAGUCCAAAUGAUGGAGUUGCCAAUGCCACUUACUUCACCGUCCACAGUCAAAAUGAUCCUCUGGCUUUUAUGCCGGAAGGGUUCUUGGAUAGGAUCAAGGGUCGAGGUUUUUUGCUGCCAUCUUGGGCUCCACAGGCUAAAAUUCUCGGCCACAGUUCCACCGGUGGGUUUCUGACCCACUGCGGUUGGAACUCGACUCUUGAAAGCGUGGUUGAGGGGAUUCCGCUUAUUGCUUGGCCGCUCUACGCGGAGCAGAAGAUGAACGCCGUAAUGCUUGCGGAGGAUCUAAAAGUUGCUUUGAGGCCAAAGGCUGACGAAAAUGGAUUCGUGGGAAGAGUUGAGAUUGCAAACAUGGUAAAGAGGUUAAUGGAAGGAGAAGAAGGGAAGAGGCUCCGUAGCCGAAUGAAGGAGCUCAAGGAUGCAGCUGCUAAGGUUUUGAGCCAAGACGGUUCUUCCGCAGAAGCUCUAGCCCAAGUUGCCGGCAAGUGGCAGGCCAAAAUUUGUACGUAAAUUAGAUUAUAGCCUCGUCUUAGUUUUGCCCUUUCUGUUCUUGGUGUAUUUUUUUUUAUUUAAAAGCACCUUGUUCUGCGUUGGUUUCAAGCGCAUAAAUGUAGGAGGUGUAUUGUCUUUGGUUAAAUAAGUUAAAAAGGGUAAUUUGGUUUUGUAAAGAGGUCAGUUUCUAUGAGCCCCCAUUCUAUUAUUUUGGUGUUCGACUUGGAUGAGUAUUAAGUGGAGAAUGAGGAGCCGGCGAAGGCUUGGGCACGUCCAUUGCAUGACAAAAAUUCGAGAUGUGCUUGCUUGAGUACCUGUAAAAAUUCAUGCGGCUGCUCAUUUAGGAAUGGAGUGUUAUAAACCACUUGUGCUGUCCCAAAUACAUGGCUACUACUAGGUUGGUGGGAUCCGGGAUACGUGCAUCCAUGUAAAAUACAGGCAGGCAUACGAUUGCCACUUGUUAAGUUUUUAUCCCCUGCCCUCUUCUUAGUCCUUACCAAGGAGCGGGGAUGGGCCAAUAAGAAGGACAGGUUAAAAUUUGUGGUGGGCGCGGGCGUUAAGUGGAGUUGGUGGCUGCCUGCCAUCGUCACAAGGAUGCCCCAGUCUAUCCCGUAACAUGUAUACUUUCUUCUUCUUUUUUUGUGUGUGUAAAAUAGUGUACAGUGACUACAUUAGAUGCUGAUUACUCCGGCAUUGAACGGUGUCAGGUGUCGGAUUUCUUCUAGCGGUAGCGGGGAGGAGGUGGGGUGCAGGGAGAGGAGGUGGCGAGGGAAGGGGGGAGGGAGAGAGGAGGAAAGAAAAGAAAGAGAGGAGGGGGGUGUCGUUGCCAUCGUUGGAGAAGAUGCCGGCCGACAAGCCGAACAAGUGAAGAAGGAAGGAGAAAGGCAAAAAAGGAAAAAACUUUAUGGUGUAUUGGAAUAUUUUAGAGUGUGUGUCUUAAAAAUUUGGAAUAUUUUUAAAAGGUUUUUAUAGACAAAGUUGUAAAAGAAUUUGUCUAUAAAAUGCCCCUGAAAAAAACCAAUCCCAAGGGAACCCAUUGUUUUCUCUAUCUACAAUAUUCGAACCUGAAACCUUUCUUUUAGGAACAUCGAACUCCUUGUUAUUUAACCUAAUAACAGUUGGUAUUCACUAUAAUCACCUAAUAACCGUUGGUAUUCACUAUCUAACCCAAAACUUUCUAAAAUCACGGGUCUCGCAAGUUCCAAUUAUAAUUGGUCGAGGACAAAAUGAUUCCUUUUUACAUUUUCAUAUCACUCUCUUACUCUUUUUUUCAACUCCAGUAAAUAACUUUUCGUUGAAUUAAUAUCACUCUCUUACUUAUUUACAUUCUAUCUCGAUUCAUUUACAUCAUGCGUUCACUUAUUUACACCGUUAGAAACAAACUAGUUUGAACUAAACUUGUGAGGCCUUUUAUUCAAAUCAACACAAGUUGAUAAGGAUGGAUCACUUUCUCAUAAAAGAUCAUGUGUUUGAAUUUCAUAUUGUCACCGUAAAAGAUGUGUUAAUAAGCGAUCUAUACGAACUUCUGCGAGUAUGCUCUGAUAUGUGAUGAUGAUUAAAAUCGAACCCACCAAAAUAUUUUUAUUACACCAAAAAAAAAAAAGGCCCCUUAUCCAAUCUUCUAUUGCUCUCGGGUGGAUCAUUGGGAGGUGCAACUGCUAUUUUACCAAAUUGCUCUGCACUUCUGAAUAUUCUAGUCCCUAUUGAGUGACAGCUAUAGUGAUGCUAAAGCUGUUUAAAAAAUUAUUAGACAAUCCACGAAAGAUAUGAGAAUCCGUUCUUGUCUUGCACACUUUUAAUAAUGGUCAUGCAAAAUGUGUGUAAUCGUGAUUGUGUCUGUUCACAUUCUGACUUUGUCUAUGGAUUUCGUGUAUGCAAAAGCCAAAAGGACUUGUUCUGGUACGCUCUUCGAUUUGGGCAUUUGAACUGUUGGUGACUAUGAAAGACUUGAACCUUGACUUCCAAUCACUUGUGACUAUAAAUAAUUUCUUCUAAAUUCAUACGAUACGAUUGUAUAGUACAUCCGUUUGAUUCGAUAGUGAUUCAUGUGUCGCCGAUUCUUCUAUAAAUUAAGUUGGGUCAUCUCUCUAGAAUAAGUUAAAGUAGAAGAAGGAAUAGAAAUAGAUGUCGAGUAGAUAAGUGACGAUUGACCAAAAAAAUGCACGCUUUUCGAUCAUUAUAUAUAUUUUAUUGUAUACCAUAAAUUUAUUUUGUGAGCACUAAUUCAAUAUGUGCAAAACAUACAAUUAAGUUAAAAAAAAAAAAACACACACACACACACAAAAAGGUAUCUAAUUCUACUAACACAAUCAUAUUUUACCCCGAGCUAUAAAAAAUAUCAUACUGCAUGGUGAACUGGUGAUGGCUGAAAAAAAAAAAAAAAGAAAUGGCGAUGGCUGACAGACAAAAUUUUCUUGUGGUUCAUGACAAGGAUCACUCAAGCGAUAUCGCUGAAACAUGCCUGCUUUUUUUUUUUUUCUUUUAGCAGUAGUAGAUAUCAGGCAGCUUCGAAAUAUUUGUUACCCCUCGAAUGUAAAAGCAAAUCAAUUAUAGUGCAGCUUCUACAUAUCUUUAGAAUAAGAAUAACUAUUUAAAUAUUUAAUAACUAAGAUUUAUGAUUUAACAAAAGAAAUUCUAAAGUAAAAUAAAAUUACUUUCAAAAGGUAGAAUUUGCAAAAGAAUUAAUGCUUGAAAUAAGUUUAAUGGAAUUAGUGAAGAUUGAUGCUUGAUCAAAUAGAGACAAAUGUUGAAAAAUUUGGUGUUUAUCUUGACUAAUAACUCCUAUUGUUCUUUUUUAGUUCUAGUCAAUUUAGCAUUAAUAAUUUGUAUAUGUAGUUAAAUCUUCUUUUACUUGUGUUUAAUUUCUUCUCUUUGUCUUUUCUUUUUUUUUUCAUUUCGAUAUAGUGUUUCUUUAGUUGCUAGUUUAAAGUUAUAAUAAUCAUAUCCAAUAAAAGGAAUGAUUUGGAUAGCAGGUGGCUAAUGAGAGACUCAUUAGGAGGGAUCUCAGAUGUGAAAUUUUUUCUUUAAAUGUAGUUAAUUUGUAAUUGUUUAAAUACAAGGGAUAAAAUAAUUGUAAUUGUGUAUAUUCAUAUGAUAAGUUAAGUAUAAUUUAAGUUGCUAACUAGUACUCGGGAGGGAGUGAUAGGUUGGAGAAUGAGUGUAAGUGAGAGAUUCCAAAUUAGAAUCUUUCCAUUUACACUAAAAAAAUAAAAAAAAAAUUGCUAACUAGCACUUACUGAGUGCAUUUGUUAGAAAAAUCCAUAAAGGACUUGCUAAUUAAGAGUUAUAUUAACUGCUAAUACCAUGUAAACAUUAAAGUGAAACACAAAUACUAAUUGUAUACAAAAAUUAGUUUUGUAAUAAAUUUGUAUCUUAUAUUAGUAUAAGAAAACUUAAGAUUUGGUUUUAAACAGAGGCAUUUAAGUAUAUUCUCUAAUUGAUAUCUAAAUGGGAAACACGUUGGGGGGGCAAAGUGAUCAAAUUGGAUUUAAAAAUUAGGACUUCAUAGACAAGUUAAAAAUUUUUUUUAAGGGCCUACAUAGAUUUUUUGAAAAACUUUGGGGGGCGGCUGCCCCUAACUCCCCUCCCAAUAACGUCUGUCUGUCGUAAUAGAAUCUGGAGAAAAUUCAUGAUUUUGGAUUCUUAUGCAUCUUCCACUCCUUAUGCGUAGACUGAAUAGACCAUCCGAUUGAUGGUAUUCUUUUCUUUGCAAUUGUGUGGAAUUUAGUGGGACGUGUACUACAGGGCAUGUGAUAAUUUGGACGUAAUGGCCCCAACUCAUCUGUCAAACGUCUAUCCUAAUACUACUAUCCCAACCCUUCUUAGGUUUGGUGGUGCGGGAGGUCAAGGGUUCGAACCUUGCCUCCCACAAAAUUUGUCACAAUAUGUGACGGUUUUUAUUGACCAGUUUCGAUGGAAUUUCUACUCACAUCGAGUCCCCUCCCCCUCCCCCUAGAAUAUACUAGGUUAGAUUAUAGAAAUUCUAUCGUAUCGAUCAAAAAAAAAAAAGAAUGCAAAAGGAAAUCAACCACUGGGCCAAUGGCUCAGUGCCACCAGAGAGGGGCUUAAGUCUCUCCUUGGAUUGUAAGUGAGGGUUCAAAACUCACCUGUAAUAAAAAAAAUCUAAAGGUUGUGCCAGAGCACUCCCUUAAUGUAGUUGGGUCUGUAUACUCACUAGCCCCCUAUCACAGCCUCCUUAGGCUCCCUCGUUGCUAAUAAAUAAAAAAAAGAAUGCAAAAGGAAAUCAGCUUGACCACAAUAGCGACUCCAAUAUUCAACAAAUGAAGAGAUGGGGUGAAAAUCUUGCCUUAAUGUAGUUGGGUCUGUAUAUUCACUAGCCCCCUAUCAUAGUCUCCUUAGGCUCCCCCGUUGCUGAUAAAAAAAAAAAAAAAGAAUGCAAAAGGAAAUCAGCUUGACCACAAUAGCGACUCCAAUAUUCAACAAAUGAAGAGCUGGGGUGAAAAUCUUGCCUUGAAUCUUCAAGAUAAUGAUGGAUUACGUGAUGAUGUUGUGUGAAUUUGCAUAUUUUCUUUUCGUUUAGUUGGACUGAGCAAAGGACUUUUUGACUCCUUGCUGACAUAAAUAUUAUGGUAGAAUGAACUUUCUUCCGUUGAAACUUGAAAGUAUCGCUUGAGAACAUAUCAUUAUUUGAUUUUCCUUUCUUUCUUUUCUUAUGUAAUCCUUCUAGAGGAGGAAUCGAACAUAAACUGAACAUGCUAAUAUUUGAUAAAUAUGUUUAUGAUGCAAACGAAAUUUUAUUUAAAAAAAUUUACUAUUCUGAUAAAGUGAACACGUUGAUAUAUAUAUUUUUUAAGACGGCGACAUCAGAACACGUUGAUUUUGGUUAUGUCAAAUUUAGCUAGCUAUAGAAGCUUCCAAUUUUUUGCCAUUUAACAUUAUUGAAUUUCUCUAUUGGGGCUCUGUGAUUGAAGUUUCUGGUGUGGUGUGGUCGUCAUAUGCCCCGAGGAAUCACAUCAGCAAGCAUUCGCCCCCCUUCCAACAGCGCCGGCUCUUUUUGACUCCUAAUACUAACCACCACAGUGCAGGGCAGGGCUGGCAAAAAUAAAGAUGAUUCCAAAUUAAUUGGCGGCAGCCGAGGCUAAGCUGUUCUUGCCCGCUAUUAAUUAAUCAGGCAGAAUAUUCUGAAAUUUCCAUUGCCAUGAAUUGGAAAAUGCUCCUACUAACAACCCUUGUAACCCCAAAAAAAAAAAAAAAAAAAAGGAGAUAUCACUUUCUUUCUUACCAAAGCAUGAUGUCACUUUUACGUCAUCCACAUCCAUCGUGUUGCUCGUGGGAUGCACGAGCAAUAAAUAGACGAAACGAGUCGUCUCAUCAUGUCUUAGGUGUCGACUGCCGACACAAGAGGGUUUAAUCAGUAAAACAGAAUAUUUAUUCACGAAAAAUCGUGUGUUUAAAUGCUGAGAAUUGCCCACGGGUUAAAUCACCCGGUCUGCGGCUGGAAAACCACUCGCAAGGUCGUGGGAUCGAACCUUAAUGGUACUUAGGCGCAGGGGAUUAGUCGGGGUCUUGACCCGGACACCCCUGUGUUGACAAAAAAAAAAAAAAAAAAAAUGCUAAGAAUUGUGUUAAUUGAUAAUCGAUAAAAGUCUCUGUCAACUACUUAUGAUUUUGGGAGCAUGUCCUGUAUCAUGAUGGUAAAAGGAGCCAAACCCACCCAUAUUUUCUACCCAAAAAAAAAAAUCUCAUCUCCUGAGCUUCUUAAAAUAAUAGUAUGGAAGAUGUGACCCCCCCUGCCUGGGGCCGUUCCCUCUUUUGCAUUGCUCCAAAUGAAGCUUUCAGAAUAUAGACAGAAUGGAAUAUCACAACCCGAAAUUCUUACCAGAUGAUGAACAAGAAUAUGAAGUUAGCAAUUUUUAUAUUUUAGGAAUGAAUUAAUGACAUAGUUUACAGCUCGUUAUUGAAUGCGACUGAUGUGACACGUCACAAUUUUUAACCAAACUUCACUAAGAAUGUAGAAGUAAUGCUCGAAUAUUCUCCGUUGAAAAAAAAAAUGAAGACAGUUCAAGGAAGAAAAAAUAUUCGGUAUAUUUAAGGACAGAAGUGAUUAAAUUGUUCUUACCGCAUAAUUCAAUGAUGACAACAUAAAGAGCCAUUUUUGGUCAUCCAAUUUUCUAAGGAUUAAUUUUUUAUGCACUAACAGUACAGUAAUUUUUUUAUACUAGCAGUUCUGGAUGUAUGCUACAUAUAUAUUAUUUGAAUUCAUGUUAUGUGAUAUGAUCUAAACCUUGUUGUGUAAAAAGAAAAUUGUACAUAUGAAAAACAUAUUCAUUUUUUAAACAAAGAAAAAAUUAGAAUAUUUUUAUUAGUACUUCUUCCAACUACUUCGCUCAUUUUCUUAACAACCUUUUGUAUUCAUCAACCGAACAUCUCAAAGGUGGUACAAAUACUUUUUUUUUUUGGUUCAAAACAUAUUUCUAAUAGAUUCAAAUCAAACGGACAGUUUCAGUUUAUUACAUCUUCUGUUGUAUUAUAAGUUGUUAUUAAUUAGUGAAAGAAGUAAAUUAUAUGAAGUCAAAGAACAACACUCUAUAAAUAAAUAAUUAAUUAAAUAGACAGCAUUUUUUUGAUCAAAAUUAAAUUCCAGUGAUAUGCAAUUCCUUGUUUGGGUCGAUAAUUUCACUAGAUUGGCAUGGAAUGACGACCUUUUCUAUUGGAUCUGUGGUUUAUUUCAUAGGUCAUUUUCUUAAAGAGGCUAAAAAGAAUUUUUUUUUUUCAUUCUUUUCGUGGCGGUCUCUUACUCUCUUUAUUUGAGCUAUCCCAAUAAAUUAUUACCAUUGCAGGCUCCAUGUCAGGUUUAUUAUUUGGACGUUCCUGCAGACUUUUAUGACCCAUUACUCGUAAAAUGUUGCAAUAGAUGCAUGUUAGUGUCGAGCAAUUCAAAACCAAAUUUAAAACCGUAACCUGGUUCCUGACGUUUCUUAUUUCCUAAUAGGCUUCUUCUUCUUCUUCUUCUUUUUUUUUUUGUUUAGCACACGGACGUAUUAUAAUGAAUGCUUAACAUGCCACAUUUUAACAGAAUCAAUGGAAAUACGGUAGUGAUGCUGGAUUAUUCUCCACAGAGAGUAAAGACAGCUUAAGGGUCAAAAGAAGAGGAAAAAAUGAAGGACAGACCAGACGUGCAAACAAACAGAUAAUAUAAUAGGACCCAAUAAAUUGUCGCCAUUGCAGGCUCUUUACUCUUCUACAUUCCUCAUUUCCUGUAGACUUCUGUGACCCAAUUACUCGUAAAAUGUUGCAAAAAACAUGGAGCAAUUCAAACCCUCUUUUUUUUUUUUUUUUUUUUUUUUGUGUCAGGGUGAUUAAAGGAAUACAAAAUUCUUGGAGACGACAUGGUCUUUAUAAUAAAAAAUAUAUAUAUAUAUAUAUAUAUAUAUGAAGGGCAGCUUUGCAUAUUUUAAGGUUGGUAAAGUCAAGGUAGAGAAAUUGAACCACUUGUGAUUCAUUAGCUUCAGAGGCCAAAGAUUCCAACACUAUUAAUAUGUGUUUUAGCUAAGUGAAGGGGUAGGGGCGUGAAGAGGGUUUGCAAUUGCAUAGCAAUGUUGGAUUUGAGUCCAUUAUAUGUACUUUGAUUUAGUUGAGCUAAAUCCCUUUUUUUUUUUUGACUCAACUGUUCUAGAAAGCAGGAUCGAGCUCGGCGGAAUCAAUUUACCUGCAGAAAUACCCUUUUUUUUUUGGUUGGGAUUGAAUUUAGAUUGCAGGAGUUGAGUUGGAAAUAUUCCAAGCGCAACGCAAUGGGAGUCUAUGAUUCCCCAGCAAUGAUGUUGCAGGGCAGGAGGAGCCAGGAUUAGGAUUAUGAAUAAAGUAACCACAAAUUGAUACAGUUGGUCUGGCAAUUAGUCCCAUAUGUGAUUUGUAAUUUAUGUAUGCACAGUAGCCAAUGGAUAGCUUCUUUGAAAGUUAAGUUAAACGCUUUGAGUCAUGAGUUGUGCCUAACCACCAACCCCCUGCAGUAUUAGUAUUAGUACUAGAUCAGUAAUUUUUUUUUUUGACAUCUGACUUUUUUUUUUUCCUUUGUAUUGGUUGGUUAAUCAGUCCCCGCCAAUAAUUAUCAUGAAUGAUUACAACAUCCAAAUUAAAAAAGAUGUGAUAUGAAGCAUAUCAUAUUAGUAUUAAAAUACACGACAUAUCCUAAGUUUCCAAUUGCUUUCAUCAUGAGGAUGUCCACAAAAGUUCUACUACUUAAUUAAUUUUUAUGUGCUAAUUAGGCACACAUGUUAGAUUAGUUGAGAAACCGAUCGAUCAAACCAGUUAAGCAUGUUCGUUAAUUAUGUCAAGCUCGAGUCUUAACACGUCUUCUUGCAAUUAAACUUAAUAAAUUAAGUGCCUUUACGCAUUUGAAAGAAGAAAGAGCACCAUUAAUUACCAUUUUUUGUUUUUCCUUGUAGCAUUCUUUUUUCACUCUCUAUAUUAUUAUAUGUGAAUGGAAUUAUGGAACCAACCCCACACUAAGCGUGGAUUCAUUUGUAUUAGUAGAAGGUCUUGACGUUCGGUAAUGAACACAAGGAACUGGACUCCAUAUCUAAGAAGUUAUGGUAGCAUUUGCUUUCAAGUUCCAAUGCUCAUAUUAAUCAUGAUUUCUAUCUGGAAUUAAUAUUUCUAUGCACCUUGAUGGAUAUUUACAAUUCUUUCUUUCAAUUAACCAACAAUUUUUUUAAAGUGAUAAUUCCAUUCACAAACUAAAUUACUAUGAACUAUAUAUGUCAGUCAAUUUUGUUAAGCAAAGCUUUAAAUGAAUUUUCUAGAAGGAGUUGAUGAGAAUGGACGCACUUGAUUUAGUCAAAUUUAUAAUCAACCAUUACGAAACCUUAAAAACAAAAAAAAAAAAAAAGAUUUGUUUGAUAUUUCUUAUCAACUAAACGAACGAGAAGACAACGAAGAAACUUUCACCUAAAAGAUGGAAAAUCGAAAUCCAUAUUACCAUUGCUAGUAGACUAUCAAACAAAAGAUACACAAAAUUACAACAUACAUUGAAAGAGAGGUGCUACUCUGCUCUAUGACCAACGAUCAAUCAGAAGGAAUUGAAAAUUUUUCUAGAAAGUGAAGAUUUUGCCAUGACUAAAUUGACAAUCGAUCGUGGUAUGAGGUAGAGCUGUUUUCCUAGUGAUAUGUGGUUUGUGUGUUGAAACUUUUGUAAGUGUGACUGUAGAAUCAUAUUUUUUAAUGGCCUAAACAGAUUUCCAAGUGGGUUAUCUAUAUCUUCAAGAUUCAUUGUAGUUCACCAAUUUGUGAUUAUUUUCAAUGAAUCGCAGAUGAUCAUAACCAGUGGCCGACACGGCAUCUUGUUGCUCUUGUUUGAGCUAGGUCAAGCAAAGGAAUUUUAGCGCCAAAAACAAACAAUAUAUAGGGUUAGAAUCAACAUAAGUUGAGUUACCCUUUGCUAGAUUCUAAAUUUUAACUUUUUUGGCCUAUUAAAAAAAAUCUACAAAAAACAAGCCAAGUAUAGGGCCAUAUAAUGUUAUUGAUAUUUCACUUUAUGAAAUCUUUUUAUUUCUCGGAACUGCGGCAGGCAUAUGCACGCUCAAAGACAUUGGCCGAGAAAGAAGUGCUGAGAUACAAUGAUGAGAAGAAAUUAGAGGUGGUGAGUCUUGUUUGUGGACUUGUUGGAGGAUACAAAUUUCAAUCCUUGAUAGGCGAAAGCAUGAGAGUGCUAGUAUCCCAUGUUACCAAAGCCAAGAUGAGGUAUCAAAGGUUUUUGGUGGGAGUGAUUGGAAAACUUCCAGUUUUGCACGUUGAAGAUGUUAUUGAUGCCCAUAUCUUCUGCGUGGAAAACCCGGGCUUCACUGGCAGAUUUCUAUGUGCUUCUGAUCUUCUAAAAUCAGAGGAGAUUGCAACGUUGAUUCAAAGUUGUUGCUCAGAAAGCAAAAUUCCCGAUGAGUAAGGCUUACCUUUAACCAUUUUUAUAAAUUAUAUUGAUGUGCCAUAGUUUUAGAGUCUGUCUUUGGGUCUUUGAAAUCAUAGGAACUUCCGUCGUAUCAAAAUGAGUAAAUGGUAAAAAUGGUCGCUACAUUAUUUAAAGUGGCAUGGUCUAGUUACUAAUCUUUUUUCCUUCUUCGAUCAAAAAGGUCAUUCAACUCCUUAAAACGGAUCUUUCAUGUCAUAUCGUCCAAUUUAACUAAUAAACCAAUCUAAAAAAAAGAAAAAAAAAACAUAUUUUGUAACCUUUGGCCAAAUAACUUUUGAGCAAAACUCACAAGCACAAAAUAGUUAACCCGAGUUGUUUAGUAGUUUUUGGACCCAAGCUUAUAAGCCAAAGAUUUCAUCUCCGACUCUACUGAUGUGGGACAAAGGAACGGGUAUCACAUAUUUGACCUACUCUUAUAGGUUUUCAGGAGAAAAAGUCCUAAAAUAUAGAUCAUUUUCGGUAAAUUUAGCAGAGACUGACUCAAAAAGCCUGUUUUAAGGAAUUGCAUGACCUUUUUGCCCCAAAAAAAAGGUUUAAUGAUCAAAUCGUGCUAUUUUAAAUAGUUUAAUCACCAUUCUCGUCAUUUGCUCUAUCAAAAUUUGAGUUACACAGAAACGUACUUUAAGUCUAGUGUUAGCCAUAUACAAGUUAAAUCUGAAUAUCAUCCGUAGGACAAAUCACAUGAAUAACAAUGCAGUUUAGCCGAAAGUGAAUCGUUAGUUUAACUUUGAAACGUUACCAUUGGAAAGACCAUAAUAGUCGUUUAAAUUUAAGAGGGCAGAAUCUUAUCAGUACUUCAUAGUAUAUUUCUUUUUUUCCAACCGUCCUUUAUUUUUGCUUUACCCAUCUGGAGCAGUGUUUACUCAGCCCAGAACUGUUUCUCUUCAUGGUAUGAAAUGGGAAAUGGGGUAAAUGAACCAACGGAAGUUCAUGCACACCCCAAUCUGUCGAGAGGGCCUAGACCCAAUAAAUGUUCCAAAUUAUCCAAUGCCAAGGCAAAGACUUGGAUCCACUCUGUCCUCCAACCGGCUUUACCAACUGUGAUUGAGGAGUAUAAUGCUAAGGCAAAAACUUGCAUAAACUCGAUCCACCAUUUAAUAUAGAUCUCGUGGAGAUAAAUAAGGCACGUCACUUUUUUUUUUGCUUUACGACCUUCAGGCAUUUCGGAAAAAAAUGACGUGACAAGUUUGUGGCCACACGAUCUAUAGCGUUGCCAGUGGACCAGUUUGUCCAAGUAUUUGCCUAAUGCCAACUGUUUGGUGUGCACGCUGGUAGACGAAGUACUUUUUUCUGACGUCAAUAUACUGUGGUUAACAAUAAUUAUGUUCUGAUUGUGGCUUUUUUUUUUUUCAGGUUCAUUGAGGAUUCGAAUAGAGAUAUUAGAUGGGGUUCUUCAAAGCUGGAGGAAUUGGGCUUUCACUACAAAUAUGACGCUGUGAUGACCCUAAAUGACUCUCCUCAGUAUUUCAGGGUUCCACUGGAGAGUUCCUAAAACACUACCAUAUAAGCAUGUUUCUGUUCAGUCAUUUCUAAUAAGGCUGAGAAAUCCCACCUUACAAGUAAGGAAAAGUUUAUGGUCCCUUUUGGGAACCAUUUUAUCAACUUGUAUCUCUCAUUAAAGAUAAUAAUUUAAAUUUUAAACAUUUAAUAAUGUUUAAACUAGAGGUCAAUAGCAUUUUUUUCACCAUCUAACGAUGAAUUUCACUUGCGGGUAUGAUAUCAAAAUGGACCGUAGAAUCACCUUAAAAGUAAAACCCUUUUUUGUGUCAAAUCUCAAUAGAUAAUAUAAUAAAAAUAGGGUCUCUCACAUUUUGUAAAAUAAUUUUUUCGUCUCUCACUUUUAAAAAUGUAAUUUUACGUCAUUUAUAAAUUCACAUUGGUCAAAUUUGGUCCCUACCUAAAUUUUCGACUAAUUUUUUGUCGAAAUCUAUCACGUGCCUUGCAGGUGAUCAUUUUUAAGGGGUAAAAUCGUGAAAUCAAAUUUUACAUAAUCCGAUCUAUAGUCCCUCACAUUUCACAAAAUGAAUUGUUUCAUCCAUCACAUUUUAUAAAAUGAAUUUUUCAAUCCCUCAUUGACCAUGUGUACAAAUAUUUUUUCUUUAAACUCAUGUAUAUAUCUAUUUGAUUUCACCUGAAUACUAUGAAUAACAUAUAACAUAUCUCUAUUUGAUUUCAUCUAAACAGGCUAAUUGUAGUUGUACACAUGCUAUUCAAUAGAUAUAUACUUGCGUUUAAAGCUAACAAGUUUGUUUUAAACUCAUGUAUAUACCCAUUUGAUUUCACCAUGUGAACCUAUUCAAUAUUUAUGACCUUUUCUCUUUUGGUAAUAAUUCAUUUAUUGAGUUGUAUAAUAAGACCAUCUAAUUAAUCGGUCCUAAUUUGAAUUCUAUAGUCAUAAUAACAAAUUGCAAUUUAAAUUUGAAAUUUCUACUCGCCACCUUUAAGACCAACAGUUAAACUACUUGUCUUGUGAUUGUUUUAAAAUUUGAGAGUGCCAAUCACUUACUUCUUUUUGUCAUACUUUUCAUUUAUUUAUUUUUUCUCUUCAAAUUUAAUUCGAUAUAAACAUUCGAUAAUGUUUAGGAUUAAAUGUCUUAUUUGUUUUCAAUUUUUGAGUAAAAAGAAAUGAACAUGAGUGAAAAAAUAACAAUUUUUUUAAAUUCAUAUAUAUAUCUAUUUAAUUUCGUCUGAACAAUAUGUUUAGAUGAAUCAAAUAGAAAUAUAUUACAUGCUAUUCGUACUAUUUAAGUGAAAUCAAAUAGAUAUAUAUAUACAUAUAUAUGGGUUAAAAAAAUUAUUCAUAUAUAUGAUCAAUGAAAAAUAAAAAAAUUCAUUUUAUAAAAUGUGAAGAGUGGAAAAUUUUAUUUUGUGAAAUGUGAGAAACGAAAAAAUUCAUUUUGUAAAAUGUGAGAAAUUAUGGAUCGGAUUAUGUAAAAUUUGAUUUGACAAUUUUUCCCUUAAAAAAUGUUCACAUAGAAGGCACGUAGUGGAUUCUGAUAAAAAAUUAAUUGAAAACUUAUGUAGGGAUCAAAUUUGACCAAUGUUAAUUUGUAAAAGACGUAAAAUUACACUUUUAAAAAUAAGGGACAAAAAAAGUUAUUUUACAAAAUGUAAGUGACAUUUUGAAUGAUUUUCCCGUAAAAAUAUGUUGAAUAAGUGAAAAAAAUAUAAAUAAUGCCACUUUCAGAAGAAAUUCUUGAAGUGGACUGUCAUUCAAUGUUGUUGAAAUGGUCAAAACAAUCUUUAUGAUUUUUAUAUUUUGUGGUUUAUUUAAUGACCAUACGUACUAACGGUCUGAUACUGGAUUGCAUGAAUUAAAGGUACAGGCGACUCUAGGGUCUGGCCUUUUUGCUUUCAAUUUUGCCUCCUACUCCUUUUUAUUUUUUAUUUUUUAUUUUUUCAGAAUCUGUUCUCUAGUUUUUGAGUCUGAUAACAUGAUUUUAGCCGAUCAGCUUACUCAAGAUUCAUCUACCAAAAGGUUUAUUUUGCUAAAUCAAACAUUGAAACUCGAUUUAAUUUAUAAUUCUACGUACACAUCACCUGAAGGAAAAAGGUGACCAUACAUCAAUCAUCAUGAAAUACAGAAAUUACAAAUGAACACUACCUACUAUGAUUGAUAUCUUCCGAGAUCAAAUCAGCAUUUAAUUUUUUUUUGACAUCUGAUUUUGUUUUCCUUUGUAUUGGUUGGUUAACCAGUCCCCGCCAAUAAUUAUCAUGAAUGAUUGCAAACAUCCAAAUUAAAAAGAUAUGAUAUGAAGCCUUAAUUAAUUAAAACCUUAAUUAAAUUUUAUGUACUUCAAUGAGAACCGAUCGAUCAAACUAGUUAAGCAUGUUCGUUAAUUAUGUCAAGCUCGAGUCGUAACACGUCUUCUUGUAAUUAAACAUAAUAAAUUAAGCGCCUUUACGCAUUUGAAAGAAGAAAGAGCACCAUUAAUUACCAUUUUUUUGUUUUUCCUUGUAGUAUUCUUUUUCAGUCUCUCUAUAUUAUUAUAUGUGAAUGGAAUUAUGGAACCAACCCCACACUAAGCAUGCAUUCAUUUGUAUUAGUAGAAGGUCUUAACGUUCGGUAAUGAACACAAGGAACUGGACUCCAUAUCUAAGAAGCUAUGGUAGCAUUUUCUUUCAAGUUCCAAUGCUCAUAUUAAUCAUGAUUGCUAUCUGGAAUUAAUAUUGAAAGAAAAAUAUUUACGCAGCGGAAUGAGCAAACAAUUUUUCGAUGUUAUUGCUUGAAUUUGCAAUUUGAUUCAGGCCUUGAUAUUUCAAAACAAAUAAAUACUUACUUGUUUAGACGAAUAUGCGAUGCCUGCUACAGAUGUUCGAAUUCCAGCAAUCAGCCUUCCACGCGUUACGCCUCUAGCUCGUCCACACAGACUCAAACUAAUGGAUUACUGAAUUUUGGAGUUUUGUCUUUUGUAGAGAAGAAAUAACUUUCUUUCUUUUCAAAAGACCAGCCGCAAUUGCCUCUCACCCUUUUUGGGACCUUGCCCAACUUUUGUCAAUAGGGUUUUAUUUAUAUAGUUGUUUUGAUUAGAUCAAUAUCUUAUACUAUCUUGAUCAAAUCAAUAUAACACAACUCAUAUGAUUAUCCAACCCAUAUUUGAUUCUUAUCUUGAUCAAAUCAAAACAACCGAUAUAUAUUUUAUUCUCAUCUUGAUCAAAUCAAAAUAGAAUAAAAUUAAUACAAUUAUUUAAUUCAUGUUUUAGUUUUGAUCACAUCAAAAUAUAAACACCAUUAAUAUAAUUAUAUUAACUGUUCUCUUCAUCUUUAUAAUAUUUGAGUCAUACAUAAAUACCAACUCCAAAUUCAGUCUAGAUUGGGUUUCAAGAUGUGCUAGCAUACUUACCAAAGUAUAAACCCAUUCUAAUCAAUUUCCCUAUUAGUUCAAAUCCUUUUGUGUGUGACUAUCUAGGUUCAUUACCCAGUUGGCAAUGUAAUAAACGUUAACCUAUUAACAUUAGUUAGAACAUUUCUAACACUUGAGAAGUUCUCCAAAUAUACCUCAAGUUAACAUAGUUCAUGAGUGAUGCCUAGCAGCAUAUCAUGACGCCCAACCGAUGAUGAAAGAUUGGAAUCCUUCUACGUGAACCAUGACUGCAAUUGUUUUGCAUAAAAAUCCUUCUAUUACUAUAUCCCUAUUGAGUUCAGUUUAGUAAUAAUGUCAAACUCUAAAACUCAAUCGUAUGACUUAAUCUAUCAAAUUACUUGACUAUAAAAUUGAUCAUCUACAUGAAUCAAUUUGUCUUGGCCAAGAACUCCUUUAGUCAAGAUUGAUAGAUUUCAUAAGAUAUCAAACCAUUCAUGAUGGAAUAAUAGAUCCCAUUUUGCAUAAACACUUGGCUCCAUGCAUAACUAAUUAGAGGUACCAUAUGCCAAUACUCAUCCGUGAUUAGAACAAGUAUUUUCUGCAUUGAUAGACUUUAACCACCCAUGAAUGAGCCAACCAUGUCAUCUCAGGUCUAAGGAUCACAUGCACCAUUGCAAUCAAUAAUGAAUCAUUGACAUUAAUAAGCUAAUGAUUCAUUAUUUAAAUUAGUUAGUGUUCAAGCCAACUUGUCACACAAGUGCCUCUCAUAUUUGUUCUAAUAUCACAUACUUAAUGGUAUGAGACUCGCCAUUCUAUUAUCAUUAAUAUCUCAUAUUAAUCAUAGAAAAUAAAUAUGAGACUAAUCUUCCGAAUUAAACUUGUCCAAUUAAUAAUCCUAUGAUUAGGAACAAUUUAAUAUUAUUUGUACCAAGUUUUUCCGUCACUCAUAUUCUCAUCACAUGAGAAUGGAAUCUUAACAAAUAAUAAUGGACAACAUUCAAUCAAAUCUAAACCAAGAAUAAUUGAAUCAAGAAGUGCCAUUUUAUUUUAAUCAAGACAAUAAUUAUUAAUGCUCUAGGGCAUACUGCUAACAAAUAUUUCUAUGCACCUUGAUGGAUAUUUACAGUCUUUCUUUCAAUUAACCAACUUUUUUUUUAAAGUGAUAAUUUCAUUCACAGACUAAAUUACUAUGAACUAGGUCAGUCAAUUGUGUUAAGCAAAGCUUUAAAUGAAUUUUCUAGAAGGAGUUGAUGAGAAUGGACGCAAUUGAUUUAGUCAAAUUUAGAAUCAACCAUUACGAAACCUUAAAAACAAAAAACAAAAAAAAAAAGAUUUGUUUGAUAUUUCUUAUCAACUAAACGAACGAGAACACAACGAAGAAACUUUCACCUAAAAGAUCGAAAAUCGAAAUCCAUAUUACCAUUGCUAGUAGACUAUCAAACAAAACGCACUUGAGUUUUUUGCCAAAUUUGUCAGUUACAAGUUUUUUAAAAACUUUAGUUAUAGUAAUCUAAAAAAAUUUCUCAAAAAUUUUAAACUAUACAUUUCAAAAUAUAUAAAAAUUUACACACUUCAAAAAAUUUUUUAAAAUUUAUAUAAUAAGUUACAGUAAAGUUUUAGACAAACGCCUAAAAAAUUCAUUUCUUAAAUAGGGCCAUAGAUUGAAAGAGAGGUGUUACUCUGCUCUACAACCAAUGACCAAUUAGAAGGAAUUGAAAGUUUUUCUAGAAAGUUGAAGAUUUUGCCAUGACUAAAUUGACAAUCGGUAAUGGUAUGAGGUAGAACUGUUUUUCUAAUGAUUUGUGGUGUGCGUGUUGAAACUUUUGUUAGUGCGAUUCUUCAAUGGCCUGAAUAGAUUUUCAACUGGAUUAUCUGUAUUUUCAAGAUUCAUUGUAGUCCACCAAUUUGUGAUUAUUUUCAAUGAAUGGCAGAUGAUCAUAACCAGUGGCCAACACGGCUUCGUGUUGCUCUUGUUCGAGCCAGGUCAAGCCAAGGAAUUUAGUGCCAAAAACAAACAAAAUAAAGUGAAUUUUUUUUUAUAAAAAAAAAAAAAAAAAGAAAAAGAGAGAGAGAGAGAGCCUUAAGCUAAGACAUGAAUAUUCGGGGAUUUCCGGUAUGGGUCAUUUAAUGAAAUGAAUAUCGUCCAGUUACCACCCAAAACAAAAAAAGGAAAAAAAAAAAAAAAAGAACAUCCAUACGCCAAAAUUAUUGGUAAAUGGUCACAACAAUAUACUAUUCGGUAUUGUUAAGCAAACAUAAAUAAGUUCAGUACAAAUAGAUGCUAGUUUUCGUUUCAAAAUUAGUGGAUUAUUAGUUGGUUAUUGAUUGUAAUGUUAUUAAAUAUAAUUGGUAUAUAUUAAUUCCACCACUGUGGACUGAUUAUAAUCAUAUGAAAAUUUUUUCCCCCCUUUUGUAAGGCUCAUUUCUCAUUUAUUUUUUUCAUUAAGUGUAAACUUCAAUUUUUUAAAUUUACUUUUAUAAGUGAAAGACGUCGAAUUAAGAACCUCCCAUUUAUAAUAUUUUUUAUCUUAUCAUCUAAUCCAAUCCUGGUCAACAACUUCAAGUUUCCUUCCUACCCAAUCCAAUCCUUCCCGGUCGACAACUUCAAGUUUCACUUCCUAGCAAAACUCAAACAAUUAUUCAAGUUCUUCUCAAUAGUUAUAUAAGAAACCUCCAAAAACACCAAGCACCAUAUCUUGAAAAUAGUGGAUGACAUCAUCCACUAUUUAUCAUCCACUAUUUUUGAAGAUAUGGAUUGGAAACGUCAAUUUUGGCGACAUAACGUAAUCGAGGACUGAGGACGAGAUGUCAGUGAUCGUGGAAAAAAUUUGGCUUUCACAAUAUAAUAAUAAUAUAUAACAAUACAGGCAGAUUAUGCUACAUUAUAUUAUUAUACUACAAGAGGAAAAAGAUUCACCUGAGCGCAAGUGGGAGCACCAUGCUCCAGCAUCAAUGUACUCCGAUCCUCGAGAAGCAACAAAUGACCACCCCAGCCUCCAAAGUAAAAUUAAUUAUAGGGAUAAUUUCAAAAAACCUCCCCUAAAGUUUAAAAAAUUACACUUAUAUCCCUUAAUUUAAUAGUUUUAAUAAUAAAACCUUAAAAUAAUAUUGACUUGAUCAAUUUUUUAAAUGAAUAUCCAAAAAAUGCACUUGUCUGAUGAAUUUUAAUUUAUUUUUCUAUACAAUUAUAAGAUUAUUUAGUAUAAUUAUAAGGCAAAUGUACCAAAAUUUUCAUGCCUAUUUCUACUAUUUGAUAAAUAAUUAUAAUAAUAAUUUUAUUACUAUGAUAUGAUGCUUUUGAUGGUAUUUUAUUAUAAAUUUUGAUUUAUAAGAUAGAAAUGAAAAUGUUGAAAUAGUUCAUUUAGAGUUUAUGAAUUUUUGGAGCGGUGGGAUAUCAUAUUUUAAUAGUGGUUUUGGGCCAUUAUUUAUUUAUUUUUAAUUUUAAUACCAAAAAAAGAUUACAAAUAUCAGCAAAAACAUUGGAUUGCAUAUAAAAUUAACUCAUAAAAAAAUCACUACUUCGACAUUUAGUUAUAAUAAAAACUAGAGGCAAUAGUGGUAGUUCUAUAAUUUUAUUGGUAAGCAAUUUAAAAAAAAAGAAUGAAAAAAUAAUUUAAAAACUCAUUCUAAGAAUAAGCAUGCCAAAUAGGCCUGUCAACGGGUCGGAACUAAUAAAUCCGGACCGAACCCGUUAUUCUAUACCAGUUUCGAAUCCGACUCGGAUAUCCGACGGGUAUUCUAUUCUUUCUCCAGGAACCGGAUCCGGCGGGUCCUAGAUCCAGGUCGGACCUACCCGAAAAAAUUAUAUAUUUUUAAAAUAAUAGUUACAGAAGUAAAUUUGGAAUAUUAUAUUAAUAAAUAUAUACUUUUUAAAUUAUUAAUCAAUUUAUAUUCGGGUUCGGGUCGAAUACGGGUCGAAAAUACCACAUUUCGUAUCCGAUUUGUUUUUUGUUUAACAAAACGGAUCCGGAUCCGGGUCCCGGAAUUAUAUCCCUACCCGUAUCCGAAAUAAUUUGACUGAUCCGGUCCGGAUUCAAUAGACCGUUGACAAGCCUAAUGCCAAAUAAGGAAAUUUCAUUAAAAUAUUUAAAAAUAAAAUUAUUAUUUUAAAUAAUAAGGGAGGUAUGUAUAAUUUUUUAAAUUUCAGGAGAGCUCAAUGUGAUUGUCAGAAACCUAUAUCCCUUAAUUAUAUUGUGCUGUAUCAUGCAAACAAAGUGCUCCUAUAUACAACCCUUGGCCACAUCAAUCAGUCACCAGAUUUAAUUGCAAAAAAUGAACACCAAGGUUUGCGUCACGGGAGCUGCAGGCUAUCUCGGUUCUGCCCUCGUUCACAAGUUGCUGGAAAAAGGGUAUGCCGUCCAUGCUACUCUCCGGAAUUUAGGUAGGCAACCUGCCAUGCCAAUCUUUACUUCUUGGUCUCUCUCUGUCUUUCUUUCUAUCACUUACACACUGCCUAAGUAAUGAGGAGAUGGCUGAGCAAUUAGAGCUAUUAGGGUCGAAGUACUGGCGGGCUUUGUUAUACGUUGACAGGCUAAUUAAGCAAGAAGGGUUUCGUUUUAACAGCUAAAUACUUGUAUGUGAUGAUCUAGGAAAAAAGUUAAGAAAGUAGUGCACAUGUACGUGCAGGUGAUGCAUCAAAGACAGGGCUGCUCAAAGCUCUUCCCCACGCAGACACAAGGCUCUUAUUGUUUCAGGCAGAUAUCUACAAUCCUGAUGAGUUUGGUCCUGCUAUUCAAGGCUGCCAGGUGGUUUUCCACGUUGCCACUCCCUUGCAGCACGACGCCUCCAGCUCUCAGGUUCCAAUUCUCGAACCGUUAGAGAAGAAAAAAAAUGGAAAAAAAAACUAUAAUGUUGCUGCUGGGUUAAUGAUGCUUUCUUUCAAAAUUAACGAAGCUAAAACGGAAUUUCCCUACAGCAAUAUGAAGAAAUUCUCCUCCCUGGAACGAUUUGUGGAGGAUAUUGUUUUGAUUUCACGAGGUGAAGAACCAAAACUAGUUUCAUUGAUGCCUCAGAUGUAUGCUAUUCAAAUACACAGUUUCAGCGAUGCCUCUUGAAAAAGUACCCAUUUAAUAGGCACCCUUUUAGGGAAUACACACAUAUCUUUUCUUAAGAUUCAACCAAAAUGGCCCAAAGUGCCGAUUUAUUGACUUUUGAAUAUAAUCUAUUGCAACAGUCAAAAGAAGACAAAUGCGCAUGACACUCAGCAAUUUUCCUCCAAAAGUUUCCCACAAAAGAAAUUCAACUGAGUUGGUGUAAAGCUUUAAUUUAUGUCUUUUGAUCUUCUACAAACUUUCCAAUUUGGGAUUCCAACCAAUACACCGCCAACGAUACUUACAAUACAUAGCAUUAACUACCCCACUAGAUGGUGUAUUAUGUGGGCGUGUUUGGAUAGAAGAUUAUUUGGGAUUUUUUUUUUUUGAAAAAAAUAUUAUAGCAUUUUUUGAUGUGACAUAUAUGAGAUCACAUAAAAAAUUGAUUCAAAAAUAUGCUGAUGCUAUAUGCAAAUAAAAGGGCGAAAAAUUAUUAGUAUUAUUAUGCUCGUGUGACUUACAUUACAUGUCUAUCAAGUACAGCUGAAAGUUUGCAUCGGCACUGUUGUGGUAGACGAUUAGUAUAUAUAUUAACUAUAGGAAGAAUGCAGAAAUGGCGUGCCUGAUGAACUUAUAAUUUGGGAGUCGAUUUUGAGGACCUAAGGAGAUCGAGUUUAAGGUGCCUGAAACCAAUUUUUGGGACUUAAAUUUCGAUUAAUUUGAGGUGCAUUACGGCAGCAUAUUUAAACUGGUUGGAUUAAUUGUUCUGUGACCCUAUCAAGUGUACAAUGAUUACGCAUGCAGUAUAAGAAUACUUGUGAGGCAGCUGUUGCUGGGGUGAAGACCAUUGCUGAAUCCUGCAUCAAAUCAGGAACUGUGAAGCAACUCAUCUACACUGCCUCUGUUGUAGCAUCAUCAGCAUUAAAGGAUGAUGGAUCAGGCUACAAGGACACAAUCGAUGAAUCCUGUUGGACUCCUCUCAAUGUCUCCUAUAGAUGCGCCACAGAUUUCUUAACUGUAUGUAGUAGGUCUAUCCUCAUUCUUACUCAGAUUGCACUGCUUUAGCAAAGUAUAUUUGGAUUAUUAGUUUCAAUCUAAUCUCUUAUGAUAACAAGCCUAAUGCCUUAUUCUCGUUUGCUUUAAAAUUAAUUUUUUGUCAAAAUUAACGUGGAAACUGAUUAUAUAGAAUAAUUAGAAUCAACAUGAGUUAAUGUUACCCUUUGCUAGAUUCUAAAUUUUAACUUCUUUGGCCUAUUAAAAAAAAUCUACAAAAAAAAAAAAAAAGUCAAAUAUAGGGCCAUAUGAUGUUAUUGAUAUUUCACUUUGUCAAAUCUUUUUAUUUCUCGGCGCUGCGGCAGGCAUAUGUACGCUCAAAGACAUUGGCCGAAAAAGAAGUGCUGAGAUACAAUGAUGAGAAGAAAUUAGAGGUGGUGAGUCUUGUUUGUGGAAUUGUUGGAGGAUACAAAUUUCAAUCCUUGAUAGGCGAAAGCAUGAGAGUGCUAAUAUCCCAAGCUACCAAAGACAAGAUGAGGUAUCAAACUCUAAGGUUUUUGGAGGAAGUGAUUGGAAAAAUUCCAGUUUUGCACAUUGAAGAUGUUAUUGAUGCCCAUAUCUUCUGCGUGGAAAACCCGGGCUUCACUGGCAGAUUUCUAUGUGCUUCUGAUCUUCUAAAAUCAGAGGAGAUUGCAACGUUGAUUCAAAGUCGUUGCUCAGAAAGCAAAAUUCCCGAUGAGUAAGGCUUACCUUUAACUACUUUUAUAAAUUAUAUUGACGUGCCAUAUAGUUUUAGAGUCUCUCGUGGGUCUUUGAAAUCAUAGGAACUUCCGUCGUAUCAAAAUGAGUAAAUGGUAAAAAUGGCCGCUACAUUAUUAUUUAAAGCGGCACGGUCUAGUUAUCAAACUUUUUUUCUUUUUCGAUCAAAAAGGUCAUUCAACUCCUUAAAACGGGCAUUUAGUGUCAUAUCGACCAAUUUAAUCAAUAAAUCAAUCUAGAAAAAGAAAAAAAAAAUCUUUUGUAACCCUUGGCCCAAAUAAAUUUUGAGCAAAAUUCAUAGGCACAAAAUGGUUAACCUAAGUUGUUUAGUAGUCUUUGGACCCAAGCUUAUAAAGACAAAGGAACGGGUAUCAUAUAUUUGACCUACUCUUAUAGGUUUUCAGGAGCAAAAAAGUCCUAAAAUAUAGACCCUUUUUGGUUAAUUUAGCAGAGAAUGACUCAAAAAGCCUGUUUUGAGGAAUUUACAUGACCUUUUUGCCCCAAAAAAAAGGUUUAAUGACCAGAUCGUGCCAUUUUAAAUAGUUUAAUCACCAUUCUCGCCAUUUGCUCUAUCAAAAUUUGAGUUACACAGAAACAUACUUUAAGUCUAGUGUUAGCCAUAUACAAGUUAAAUCUGAAUAUCAUCCGUAGGACAAAUCACAUGAAUAAGAAUGCAGUUUAGCCGAAAGGGAAUCGUUAGUUUAACUUUGAAACGUUACCUACUGUAAUUUAUUGGAAAGACCAUAAUGGUGGUUGAAAUUUAAAAGGGCAGAAUCUUGACGGUAUAUUUCAUUUUUUCCAACCGUCCUUAUUUUUGCUAUACCUAUCUGGAGAAGUGUUUACUGAGCCCAGAACUGUUUCUCUUCAUAGUAUGAGAUGGGCAAAGAUACCAAGAAAUGGAUAAUGAACCAACAGAAGUUCAUGCAACCCAAUCUGUCAAGAGGGUCUGGACCCAAAAAAUGUUCCAAGUGACCCAAUACCAAGGCAAAAACUUGGAUCCACCAAUUGUUGGACUUAAAUCCACUCUGUCCUCCAACCGGCUUUACUAGCUGUGAUUGAAGAGUACAACGCUAAGGUAAAAACUUGCAUAGACCCGAUCCACCAUCUGAAUAUAGAUCUCGAGGAGAUGAAUAAGCCAUGGCGCUUUUUUUUGCUUUACGAUCCUCAGGCAUUUCGCAAAAGAAAUGACGUGACAAGUUUUGGCCACACGAUCUAUAGCGUUGCCGGUGGACCGGAUCUGUCCAAGUUUUUGCCUAAUGCCAACUGUAGGUGUGCACGCUGGUAGAUGAAGUACUUUUUUCUGACGUCAAUAUGCUGUGGUUAACAAUAAUUUCUUGAAUGGAAUUAGAUGUUCUGAUUUUGGCAUUUUAUUUCAGGUUCAUUGAGGAUUCGAAUAGAGAUAUUAGAUGGGGCUCUUCAAAGCUGGAGGAAUUGGGCUUUCACUACAAAUAUGACGCUGUGAUGACCCUAAAUGACUCCCUUCAGUAUUUCAAGGUUCCACUUCCACUGGAGAGUUCCUAAAACAUUACCAUAUAAGCAUGUUUCUGUUCAGUCAUUUCUAAUAAGGUUGAGAAAUCCCACCUCACAAGUAAGGUGAAUUUUAUGGUCCCUUUUGGAACCAUUUUAUCAAUUUGUAUCUCUCAUUAAAGAUAAAUAAUUUAAAUUUUAAACAUUAAAUAAUGUUUAAACUAAAGGUCAGUAAUACUUCUUUCACCAUCUAACGAUGAAUUUCACUUGCGGGUAUGAUACCAAAAGGGACCGUAGAAUCACCUUAAACCCUUUAUUGUGUCAAAUCUCAAUAGAUAAUAUAAUAAAAAUAUGUUGAAUCUGUGAAAAAGAUAAAUAAUGCCACUUUCAGAAGAAAUUCUUGAAGUGGACUGUCAUUCAAUAAUGUUGUUGAAAUGGUCAAAACAAUCUUGAUGAUUUUUAUAUUUUGUGGUUUAUUUAAUCACCAUACGUACUGACAGUCUGAUACUGGAUUGCAUGAAUUAAAGGUACAGACGAGUCUAGGGUCUUGCCUUUUUGCUUUCAAUUUUGCCUUCUACUCCUUUUUUAUUUUUAUUAUUUUUUCAGAAUCUGUUCCAUAGUUUUUGGGUCUGAUAACAUGAUGAUUUCAGCCGAUCAGCUUACUCAAGAUUCAUCUACCAAAUGGUUUAUUUUUCCAAAUCAAACAUUGAAACUCGAUUUAAUCUAUAAUUCUACGUACACAUCACCUGAAGGAAAAAGGUGACCAUACAUCAAUCAUCAUGAAAUACAGAAAUUACAAAUGAACACUCUAUCUUCUAUGAUCCAUGUCUUCCGAGAUCAAAUCAAAUCCUAAACUAGCCGGUGGCGGUGGGUACCAACAUGUACAUCUAUUAUAUUCUCGGACUACAACUAAAAACUGAUUUCACAGUUUAUUCAUCUCUCUUUCCGGCUUCCGGUGCGGAAGGAUCAAAACAGGUACAAACGGUAACAGAGCCAGCAUUUUAUGAUAAUAUAGACACGUUUUUUUUUUUAUUGAAUUGCUCAGGGGAUAAAUGGAUUUGAAAAUCAGUUGAAGUAGGCGAGGUCGUCAUCAAGUGUGAAACUUGUAUCAAAAUCCACUUGAUCAAUCGAGAAAUCAUGAUCACCAAACGGGGAACUGCUGAUGACUGAAGUUGGAGUUGAUAUCAUGUCAGUAAGAUCAGACUCUGAGGUCUGCAGGAUGUUGUCUAUACCGAAGUUGUUGUCCAUUUGGCAUGAUGAUGAGAAGUAGUUGGACUCGGACGUUGUCGGAGAUAAAAAUGUAGGCGAAUUGCUGCCCAUCAUGUCACAAUCCUUCAUUACAUCAGAGAAGAAUUGGCUUUCUAGAAUGUCUAAUCCCACUCCUUUAAAAGAGAAGGAAAAUGAGCGGAAAAUCUCUUCUUUAGUUUUCGAGACCUCCGUUUCAACUUUAAGGCCUUGUCCAAGAUGUUGUAGCGUCUGUUCUGCUCCCAUUUGAUUACCUCCUUCUCUUGCCAGUGAACGAGCUUUCUUUGGUUUAUGCAUUUCCUUUCCAUCUGAACGUAUUGCUGAACCUGAAUUGGCGGCUUGAAUGCAACUAUGCCUUCCUUUAUAGGUUACCUCAAAGACGGCCGGAUCCUCGUCCGACCUCUGGACUUGCUUGGUUGCCAAACAGCCUCUUGAGUUUCGAUGAGUGCAUCGAUAAUAUGCUCUGCAAUUGCAAUACCUCCUCCUGUUAGUCUAGUCACACUCUGAUCCAGUAAUAUUUAAGCUCACACAUUAUUGAAGCACGGAGCCAAGAGAUUCAAGUUCAAUUGAGACCAUUGAUAGAAGGCCGGCAUAAUUCAGACAACCUAGGAAAGUCAAUUUUCAUAGACAGUAGCUCCUAAAAGACAAAAGUCAGGAAACAUAUGGGCUUAUCAUUUAAUGUUCAGGAGCUACUUUGCCUGGUUACUGACUGUAUCUGUAAUCCAUGGGACCAUACCAUAUACUAGUGAAUUAAGCCACUUGAGAGUAACAAGUUGUUGGCCAUAAUAUAAAUGCUCCACCUGAAUUCUAGAUAAGCUUCAGUACAUCAAUCAGACCAUAGUACAUUACGGUUAGGAAGAUGUAAAACAGAUGAAUUCAUUCGAGUACUAUUAUUUAUUGGUUUUGCAAAUCAGUCGGCAGAAAAUAUGUAUAUCUAUUUGUUCCACUAUUAUUUAAGUAGUACUACUAUUAGUUUUGCAACUCAGGUCACAAUCCUGCAUCCAAUUAUGAACAGUUCUUAAAGCGGCUGUGCCUGAUCCCUUUCAAUCCUAACCGUCUAAAAUAUGCACACAAUUUUAACCUUUAAUUGUUACUGCUCCAUUAGUCAUCCAUGGAUUUGCUUCUGCCCAAAAGGGAUAUAUAUAGUAACAAGGAUGUUCCUACCUACGGAGGGAGUAUUUGUGGUUUUUGACAUUUUUGUCACUCCCAGGCAAUUGUGCAGUUCAUGAUGUCAUAGCACAACCAAGUAGUCUGGUCUAGAAUUAAUGCACAAGUGAAAAAGAGAAGGCCACUUUUCGGAUAAGACAGACUGAUCGUAUGAGGUUGCUGCUUACCUUGGAAAAUUAGCCCCUAAAAUAUCUUUCUGCCCAUAUUUUCUCCAGCUGUGUCCAUCAUCAACGUGACCUUCAAGACCACUUGCAGAGCAAACGCGAACGUUCUCACUCCACUUUGGCAAUGUCUUUCUGCAGACGAACAUAAGAAAACUGAGAUCGCUAUCGAAUUCAAAAUUUAAUGAAAGAAUCAAGAAAACAGAGAAUUACUGGAGCACAGUUGGGGGCUUGAAAUGUUUACCUCUUCCUGGAUGCAUCUUUGUUGCAUUCUUGAUCCUUUGAGAAACCACUGGAAUUUGAGCCCUCAGUUAUUGGGGUAGUGAGAACAGGGGAAUGAAAUAGAGGAGAUUCCUUUCUGCCGGUUUCUGGCAAAGUCUCUUCUUCCUUUAAGACCCUCCAAGUUAACAUGGCUAGUGCUUUAUCAUAUGUAGAAACUAUCUUCUCAACCAAUGCUUCGCAAGUCUCCGGAGAUGUUACCGGAUCAAGUUGUUUCCUGAGUUCAUUUGCCAUCUCCCUACCUUGACUUAGCUCAAUUAUUAGAUUCUUUUGCUCGCUCGGAUUAACUUUUUCCAUGUUUGGAUCUUCACAAACACUGGACAGGCCUAUGGUUCUGAUUUGGGACAAAAGCUGAAAAAUGGAUUUGAGCUGGAGUUCAGAUGGCGAUAAGCUUGAGGAGCGGUUCAGAUGGCAAAUGGAGAGCACAUCACUAGUUUAACUAAUACUACUGGAAGGACAAACAUGACAGUUUGAGAUGGAUAGCAGGAUAUGCCCAAUGGACAGGAGCAGAUAGAAGUUGCAGCCUAAUUUCUCAGUUUGAAGAAAGUGGUCUAUUUAGUGAUGUAAAGUGCUGGGAAAAGAGGAGAUAUAAAGAAGAAGAAAAGUAGUGGGAAAGGGGAUGGUGCUUGACUGAGGGGAAGGAAGCUUGAAAUUUUCUCGUAUAUAGUUGCUCUGGCAGCUAAACGGGUUGUGGGGGUUGGGGGGUUUAAAGAACAAAAAUUGAUAGGCAUUUAGGCAGUACACGUUUGAUUGUUUGAAAUGAAAUCCUAGGGUGAAUUCCCGUAAAACUUGCAUAGAAUAUGUUAGGCGGCCCAUAUUGUACUCAACUAGUAACUCUUGCAUUUUACGUGAGGAGGAAAUUCAUACAUUUUCAUCUUAAAUUCACAUAUAAAACAUUUUCUCGAUAUUAAUUGUACAAAUCAUCAAUGCAUCAAGGGUAUAGGUUUGGAAUGUUAGCAUAUUUUGCUUUAGCAAUAUCAGCAAUUUUGUUUUCAUACUCAGUCUGCAAUGAAAUAUUUCUCUCAUCAUAAAAAAAAAUUGUUAUUUGUACUUCCACCAUUUGUUUUAUCAUAUAAUCUAAUAAAUAAAAAUUAUAUAUCAUUAAAAUAAUAGUAAGAAUGUGAUUAACAAAAAUGAGAGUGUCAAUAACAUCUAUCGAAUCAUGUUCUAUUUGCACUUAUAAUAAGGGCAGCAUCUAAAGUCUAAAAUGAUUGGAAGAUCUUCCCUCCAUUCACACAAAUCACAAUCACAUUCCUCUAUCUAAUCAACUUGGAUUUGGGAGAGAGACCGAUUAUCGCCAUUAGAAUUUGGGUGAAUACAACUAACAUCGCCGCGUACAAUAAAAAAAAAAUUAAGUAUAUGUAGUUAAUUAAUCUAUUAACCGUAAACUAGUCUAUCAUUAUAUACAUUAUUGCUAUCUCUAUUCUUAGGAUGAACCUUGUCAUCAUAGGAUUCUACCAUCAAACGAAAUGUCUUUUCUACCCUACCUAUCGUAAACUUUCAUAGUUGUAUACUACUCCCUCCAUCCCAAUUAUUUUAUCAUGUUUCAUGAAUUUAACCUUUUAAAAUAGUGGUUUUGAUUGUGUUGUUUAUACUUCACUUUCCAAUUUUAAUCCCACAAAUUCAAAAUUUAAAUUUAAAUGGUAGCAUAUAUAUGAUUAAAGGGAGAAACUAAAAAGUGUUUUGACUUUUUUAACAUGACAAAUAUUUGGAAACAUCUCAAAAUACAAAGUAAAUACUUCCAACGGGAUGAAGGGAGUACUAAAUAUAUGCAAGGAGGACAGCCUCUCGUUAGAUAGAUUUUCUCUCUAGUUUUGGAAAUUAUGACAACAUCCCAUAUACUUUGGAAGCAAUUUAGCCAACAUUUGAAGUAUAGUUAAUAACCAAAAAAUGUUAGUGUGUUUGAAUAGAGUAUUAUUUGAAAUAUUAUUUGGAAUAAUUACUGUAGUACUUUUUGUAAUGUGAUGUAUAUGAAAUAAAAAGUAGUAUGAAAUAUAAAAAUGUGAAUUGAAAAAUUUUUUUAUGAUGCAAGCGAAAUAUUGUUUGGGAUAAUUUGGCAAUCCUUGAAAAUUCUGAGAACGCGGUGUAUAUACUUUUUACCAAUCACGUUGAGAGGAGGAUUUAAGUACACAAAUAGAUCCAAAAUUUAAUUGCUGACCAAUUCAAACGGGCCACAUAGAAACCGGGGGGCCGCGAAUCGCUUUCAAUAAUAAUAAUAUAUAUUUCCCUUUUUUGAUAUCUCCUCACGUCCAAUAUCCAAUAGGGAAAUUUCAAGGAAAUGAAGAAAAUCUUGGAAUGCACCACAGGUGAGUAAUAGAAAUUUUCAAUCCAGUUGUGAAGAAAACUAGAAAAAGGAGAUGGCAUUCAAAAAAGUUGAAAGUCAAAGAUGAAAGUUUAAGACAGGGAGCCCGCCGCGGGAGGGGGGGGGGGUGGGUGGACAGGGGAGGCUACAGCGAGGAGUGCAGGCCAAGGAAAAGAUGACGAGAGAUCCGAGAAUCUUCUCACUCGCUUCCGCGUUGAUGCCCCAAUUUUUUAUUAUUAUUAUUUUCAUUAGUUAAUUGUUUUCAUCAUGCAAUGACGUAUAACAGGUGGCGUCACCAAACAAACAACGGAUAAUUUGAGAAACCUCCCUUGAGGUUUCUCAUAAUUUCACUUGGCUCCUUUAUGGUUUCAAAAAUUACACUACCUCCCUUGAUAAUAUUUUAAUAAAACUCCUUUGUUGCCAUGUUUAUACAAAGAAUGAAUUUUAUAAUUUUUCUUCCUUUUUUUUCCUUAUUCAUUUCUCUAAUAUUUCAUUAGAAGUAUAUAAGAACUAUCAAUGUUAUCCACGAUAUCUAUAUAGAUUAAACGUUAAACUAGUAACAUUUUUUCUUUGAUAACUUUUAAUAACAUCCAACUUUUUAGUAGCUCUUUUUUUGUAUUAUAAUUAAAAAUAAAUGACCCAAAAUCACUACCAAACUAUGAUAGUUCCAUCACUAAACUAGUCCAUAAACUUUUAUUACAAAAAAAAAGUCCAUAAAGUUAAAAAAAAAAGAUAGCACUUCUUUAUAUAUCUUAAAAAAGAAUCAAUGUCUCCAAUAAAGCACUAUAAAAAAAAUAGUUUAUUAUAACAAAAGAUUUAUUUUUAUAGUUAAUUAUCAAAUAACAAAUAAUGACAUGAAAAACUUGAAACCUUUUUUUUUUUACAUUUAUAUAUAUAUAAUUAUGCUAAAUUACUUUACAAUUGUUUAGGAGAACAAGAUAAACUUUAUAAGAUAAGGACAUUUUAGGAUAUUUAUUAAAUUUUUGACCCUAUUUUAAGAUUCGAUUACCAAAAUAUCAAAUCAAGAGAGGUAAAUGUAAUUUUUUAAACUUUAAGAGGACUUAAAAGUGAAUUAGUCAGAAACCAUUCCGAAAUUAUCCCAACAAACAAUCACCCCCUUGCUUACGCGGAUGCCUCCUAAAGCUAAGAGCCAGAAUAAAACAAUGAAGAAAAGGCCAAACAAAUGAUUCCACACGGCUGACAACGAUUGUGCUAAUUUAAUUAUUAUUACGACCAUACUCCUAAUUCCUAUUCGAGGUUUCAAACUUCCACUCGGAUUAUGCAUCCUAUAUCAUGUUCCAUCAAUUAUGACCACAACAACCGAAUGCAUGAAUCAAAGAAGGCAUCGAAAUUCAAAAAAGGGAUUCUUUUUUGUCUGGUUGGUUCGCUGAUUAACGAACGCCCCCAAAUUUGGAUAAACAACGCCACCCCCCAAACUUUUUUCCCAGGGACAAAAAGUCAUCCAGCGAGCAAGGAUAGCAAAAAGGUUAGCCCUUUUCAUUUAAUUUUUUUUUUUAAAAAAAAAAAAAAGAAAAAAAGAACGUUGGCCAUUGUCCCUUGAGAAGGGACACCUGUAGGCUCGCAAUUGCAAAUAUUAAAAUAGAGAAGGCCAGUUGAUGCUAGUAGGCUCGCAAUCGGCAACCGUAGACUCUCAAAUAAAUCAUCCAAAUAAACUCCUAUCCAAACAAAUUUCUAUUUUGACGCUGGUCUUUCAACUGUAGUCCAAAAAUCUCUUCUUCUCAGUCUCAAAUAUUCUAGGAUGUGCACCCACCGGCUUGAAGCUCAAAUGUUAAAAAUUUUGUGCUUUUAUCAAUUUGUGAGGGGCAAUUUGCGUAUCCGGGACUCGAUGAUACAGGGGGUUUAAUUGAUUGGCUGUGGCUUUUUCUCUGCUUUACUACUGGUUGAGAGAACAUAUAAAAUGAUUUUCUCAAAAAAAAAGAAAAAGAAAUUAACCAAGAAUGGAUGGAUGGCAACGUCAUCACGUGAUGAAUGGAGUGGCAUCACUUCUUAGCUCACAGCGAUGUUUUAUUUUUAAACUGUAAUUUGGCAUAUUUUGGUUGGUGAGUGAAACUGGAAGGGACUUGUGAGCUCAUCUUAUCUGCUAGACAGAAAAGUGGAAAUUUGAGUGAUCAAGAUUCUUGUCCUCCAUCAUUUUUCAACAUGUCUAUAGUUGUAGUAUUGUACAAGUCUUCUUAUUCAUGACAAUUUGUUUUUUUUUUUUUUUUGUUUUAUUGAGUGUGUUUGAUUUAUGUCGCUACUCUAAUGGUAGGUUAAACGUACACUAAAAAAUAACUGAUUUGCAAUUUAAUAGAUAUAAUGGAUGUGAAAAUUUAUGAAUAGACCCUAGAAGAUACAAGAAAAUUCAAGAUUGUUUUCUAACAUAAAUCUCUAUAGUUCCUUUCUGUGCAUGUUGAAAUUGCCAGAUCUGCUAAUCAACGGUUUUAAACUCUAAAAAUCUAUCAACAUAGACCCAAGAUCCAAACAAAUUCCAAAUAUAACGAUCAGAUCUAAAAUAAAUUUAAAUCUAACAACAAAAUAAGAAAAAGCAACACAAAAAUCUCACUAGGAACUCUUAGGACGAUAAAAAAACCUGAACACUUGGAAGAAGUCUUUGUGAAAAAAUCUUUAGGAGAGACUUUAUUGGUGAAGAGGAAAAGAAGUAGAGAGAAAUUGGAGAGAGAGAGAGAGCAAGUCCCCAGAAAUGAGUUUCAAACUAAUUAUUGUUUCUAGACAAUAAGCAGGGAGAAAAAUAAUCAGCCAAAUAUACCCAAGAGAUCUUGGAUAACAAUAAUAAUAAAGCAAGCAUGCAUGAUUUGGACUAUUUCCCUCCUAACUUCCAAGAAAAAGCCCUGCUAUGCUGAGGAAAGCGAAGCAUCGAAGUGAAUGUGAAGUUCACGUCCAAAAAAAGAGCCAAUACCUGUGCCAUUUCGCUUCUAGAUGCAAAAGGAGGCCGGCCACCCUUGGCUUUAUGUGAGAGCGUUAAACGUGUGGGACAUUUUUAAGAGUCCUACUACUGUGCCUUUCUCGCCUGAAAGCUUGAAUUGAAGGUCUGCGGUGUACAAUGCACAUCCCCCCCUCAGUAUUUUACCCGGUCAAAAUUUGGGUUUGGGACAUCAAUCCAAAUUCUUCAUCAUUUACUUUGAAUCUUCAUCGUAUUCUCUGUCCGUUUCACACGGUUUAUCAACCUUUCACACGUGCUAAGACUCCUCUGGUGCUCCAAAACGAACGUACGUAGAUUGGAUACAUACUUUAGAUUGUGAUCAGUGCCCCGCUGCUGAGCGUAAUGGCAUUCUUAAUUACUUUGAAAUUCUUUUUCGACAGACGGAGUAAAAAAGAGUAGCUAAUUAAUGAAACUCUUCUAUGAACUGGAUCCAGAUGUCAGUUCAGCAGAAAGAAUAAUUAGAACAGCAUCAACAUUUAUUUAGCAACCAACCAGCCAAUUGGUCCAAAUAUUAAUAUUAUACUAGUAUAAGGAUUUUUCUAACAAGUUAGUAGUGCUUAAUAAAACACUCGUUGACGCACCUACGUUACACUCAAACACACAAUAUGUUAUGUGAAUGCACAUAACAAUAAUUCGGUCUGCCUAACAGGUGCCUAUACGACACUCGAUAUAUUUCAUUUCAGGUGUUAUAUUUUUUGGAAAUAUAGAAUUAAUUAGAAAAAAGUAUAUAAAUACAAGAGAGGAUGAGCAAGACUAAAUAGGGAAAGUAUAUCAAUGUAAAGGAUGAUAAUAAUUCAGUACUUAUUAGUAUGUGUAUAUGUAUGGUAAGUUAGGUGAAUGUUAACGGGUGCUCUCGUUAGAAAAACCCUCUUAAUAAUUAUCACAUUCCCUUACAGUCAUAUGCUUUUUCUAAUUAAUUUUAUGUUUCUAAAAAAACAAUGCUUGAACCCCUAUUUAUAUUAAUACGCGAAAUUAAAUGUUAUGAAUCCGAUAUUUGCCAUCUGCAUAUCACCCUAUUUAUAAUCUUACAUAUAUAAUAUGGGAAACUAAUUAAUGUCAUUUGCCAUCUAUAGAUCAUUGGAAAUCAAAUUAGGACCAAGUGUGAUUUGAUAAGCAAGUGACCUUUUUUUUUUUUAUCAGCAUGAUGAUCUCUGGUUGAUUAUUAAUUGGAUGAAAAGGUCAGUGGUAUUAACAUUUCGUCGUAUGUGGCAAUUAAAAGUGGCAAUACUAAGCUAUUGGUACAGAUGCCAUGGACGCAUGACCAAGUCAUCAUUAAUUUUUGUUUUCUUUUACCUAAGACCAGCAAAAAAAAAAAAAAAUUAUUUUAAAAAAAAAGUACUAGCAAAAUGGUCGUCAUUAAUUUUUUAUUUUUUGAGUUUUUGGGUGUGUUUUGAGGACAUGUAACGAAAAUCAUCUCAAAAUCAAAACUCGUACAUCAUCUCAUAUUAAACCAAACCGCGUUGUGUUGUAAUGGGUGUGGGUGCAGUGCAGGACUUGGUCAAUGCCAAUCCUCAAAUCCAAUUUUUCGUUUAUAGAUUCAUUUUUCAGUGAAACGUGAUUUUGAGGCUUGUCCUAUCCGACAUCGACAUCGCAAUUUUCAAGUCUUCCCAGUCAAAAGAACACAUACCAAUUACCAUCCCUCCAAAUUCCAAAAUGAUCUCUAUUACUGAUUCAAAUGCAGUAACUUUUUUUUUUUUUUUUUUAUUAAUGACAAACCCUGUACACAGGGUAGGGGAUGCCAGAAAUGCAUUAACAACAACGUUAGCCAACAAAUACUCUGCAAUUACAGAGUUAACCGCCCUUGCUUAAAGUUCCUUUAAAUCCAGCUCAAUCUUCAGCUUCAAGUGGCUUUUUGUACAAAUGGCUUUUUGCCCGUGCCUUGCCAGAGUAAUUAAUGUUCCAAUUGAACUUCCUGCAGUUAUUUCAGUUAACCGCCCUUCAACUUUUAAAAAUCUUCUGAAAUUGUCUUUUGUUUUUCUUUUCUGAGGAAAACAAACUUCCAAAUUUAACCGUAGUUUUCUUCUUCUUUUAUUUAAAACCAAAAAGAAAAAAAAAAGUUAGACUAAUUCACAAUUUUCGGCAUUGAAGUCUUAGAGGAGAGAUAAUAAUUGACAGAUUUUCUUUUCUCCAACAUAUAAUAGUAUUCUUCCAAAAAGAAAACGUAAAGCCCACUGGGCUUCGGUUGGAUCAAAUAUUCAGACUGGGUAGCCAGCGUACAACGCCUAAAGGAUAAAUUAGCGUUCAGGUCAUGACCUUCUCCACUGGUAUCUAAGAACUAGGCCCACUUUUACACUUGACGAGAACCAUGAAAUUAUACUCCUUAAAGUUUAUUAAUUGUUAAUUGAUUUAUAGUACUUUGUCAUUCAUUGGAUAUGUAGCACAAAGGGCAAAUCUGGUACAAAAUUCUAAUUUCAGUUCCUAAAAUAAUAUUUUAAUCGUUUGGACUAAAUUUGCAAAAGAUUAGUAACCUCAGGGGAGGUCAGUGUAAUUUUUCAAACCACAGGGGAGCUCAGUGCAAUUAUCCCUAAGUAAUAAUUACUAAUUAGUGAAAGUGACUUGAGUGUACGACAGUUUAAUCGAGUCGAGUCGAGCUCGAGUAGUGCUAUACUCGAGCUCGACUCGACUCAUAUAUCCAUAGGCUCGAGCUCGGCUCGAGCUCGAUCGAGUAAAAAAAUUGAUACUCGAAACUCGACUCGAUGUACUCGCGAGUAGCUCGAAACUCGACUCGAUAGGCUCGAUAACGAAGGGUAUUUUGUAAAUUCCAUAUAACUUAUACCCAUAAUGGUCAUUUUAUAAUUAUAAUAUAUAUAUAUUAUUUAAAUUAUAAAUAUAUUAUUUAAAUAACCCCGGCUCGACGAGUAGCUCGACGAGCCUCGAGCCGGGGAUUUUUGACUCGAAACUCGACUCGAUUUUCACUCAAGCUACUCGAAACUCGGCUCGAACUCGGUCAACCCGAGUUCGAGCCAAGUCGUUGACCAAGCUACUCGCGAGUAGCUCGCGAACACCCCUAGUUUGGAUGAGCUGCCUAGAUUCCAACAACUUUUGACCUUGUGUGAUGUUUCAAAAUCUGUUUAAUUGAACAAACUAUCAUUGAUGGUUCAUCUCAAUCGUAGGGAAAAUAGAGGCGGUUUAAAUUGCGAAUUUUUUCGGAAAAAAAGUUUUUUGAAUAUUUUCUUGACACGUUUUUAAAUUAUUUUAUUUUAACCUCACAUACAUCACAUCAUUAUAAUAUAAUUUCAUCAUAAACGUACUCUAAAAGCAUUUCCCAAGGCAAAAUCAAUAUGCCCAAACUAUACCAUAUUUGUUUUAAAAAUAGUGGUAUGUUUGGAUGGGAGGUUAUUUGAAAUAAUUACUGUAAUACUUUUUAUGAUGUGAUAUAUGUGAGAUAAAAAGAUGGUUAGAAAUUAUAUGUACGCUGCAAAUAAAAUAAAAUUUGAAUUUUUUAUUCGAAAAUAUUGCAAUCCAAACACACAACAGAAACGUGAAUUAGAAAAUCUAGUUCAACCUUGAAUAUGUAACUCAAGGUAACCCACGCUGAAUUAAGAUUGGAGAGUCCCAACACUCCCCUACUUCAUACAUCACACUGGAGCAUUAUCUAAUUGAACAAAAGGCCAAAUAAAUCCCAACAUCAAACUGAUGAACUGAUAAUUUUGGAAUGGUCUUUUGGCUCCUCUCGUUGUUUGUUUGCAAAACCUUCAGAGUGUUUCAUCAACCAAAAUCUCUCUAUUUCCUCAGGUUUACGGCCUGGAAUUCUCCCAGCUAUCAAUGCCCACCUGCAAUAUUAAUUCUCAACCAUCUUCCCUCUAAACUAAAGGAGUAAUCAGAAUUGAAGGCAAGGGAAAAAAAAUUCAGGCUGGAAAAUGAUACCCACCUAAGAAAAGUUCAGCAAGUACAGUGUAUUAUCCACCACACAGGGUCAAAGUUUUUUUUUUUUUUUUUUCCGCCUCCACGUUUAACCCCUCACGAAUAGGGGGUUUUUCCAGAAAAAGGAAAGAAAGGAAGGAAAAAUGGUACAAAAUUUGUUGCCAGUCCAAAUUGUACUUGUUUUGCCACAGCAUGGACUUGUUCACAACGCAUAUACUGCUCUGAUACUUUCUUUCUCCACAUUCAACAUGUAUAUCGUCAAGACAUAACAGAUUAUUGAAGAAAUUGGAGAUUACUACGGGGAAAAAAAAUUCAUGUAAUGCACGUUAAAUAUUAUUGUUCUAAAAUAUGUUCGACAAACAACCUAGUGCAGGCCAUUAAUGUUUAAGUGAAUAUAAUAGUAUAGCAAAUUUUGUUGAGUUGGUUACCUGUCUCCGACCAGCUUGUGCAUUCUGUAGAUGAGGUCUUCUUCCUGUUCAGUCAUGUUGAUGAAGUCCCACGCAAUACUGCUCACCUCUGUGUUAAAGUACCAAAUUACCGGUCUUAUAUAAAAAUGGACCAAAAAAAAUGAUGAAGAAAAGUAGGGAAUGAAAACUUGAAUUGACAGAGCAUAACCUUUUUUUUUUUUCGGAAACGAUAAACCUAAUCUAUCCUAUACUAAGGGGAAGGGGCAGACCUAAGGAGGUACAGAGAUAAAUCCGGAAGGGACUGAACCACCACCGGACCAGACGGGUACACAGCACACCCGCCUGAAUUUUUUUGGAAAUAAGCCACCUAAAUGUGACAUUUUUGGUGAGAGGCAAACCCCACCAACUAGGUGGUGGCCACUGAGCCAAUGGCCCAGUGGUUACAGAGCAUAACCAAAGUGGUUAAAAUUGGAAUUCGGACCAACCUUCGUACGAGCAAGAUUUGACGAUUUUCCGCUGCUUUGCCCGACCAUCAUCCAUUGUCGAGAACUAAGAGAGAAUAUCAAGAAAGAAGAUGUGUGGAUGCCUGAUGCGGACUUUGAAGCACGAGAGGCUUUUUUUUUUUUUCCCUUGGGUUAAGUUGCGGCAGUUUACUAACUAGCAAGCGCGGGAGAUCAAAUGUGCAUAGUUGGUUCAAUUCACAGGAGCGGAUCACUUCUUUUUUAUAGGAUCAUAUGAUGUGGGAGUUGUGUUGAUAAAUAAUAUGUAAAUAUCUCUUCAAGUAAAUUAAUAGUUUUGAAGGCAUAGACCUGGACCUAUGAUUUUAGAGACGUGCUUUGAUCCGUGAGAAUAACCGGAAUCAAAAUCACUCAAAAUUUUACUUUAUCUAAGGAAAAAAAUUUAAUAAAUGCAUAGCAAUAUACCGACAGAAUUCAUAAAGGCUACCUCCAACUCCAAGCCCUUAAUUUCUAAUUGGUUGUAUACGUAUAUACAUACGUGCAGGGUAUUCAUAUAUGUCAAGACACAACAUGGGACCCGUAAGGCGUCCCAAGUCACAGACAGCAUCGUCCGCAGCGGGGGCACGAUAAGGGAUGGCAUUAUCAAACGGACAGACAAAUGCUUGGGAUCCAAACCAAUCGAGCCACUCGCUGAUUAUAUCAAUUUCACUAGUCUCCUCUAAAGUUUGAUAACAAAAUUAGUCCAAUUAGAAAAAAUAACAUUAAAAAAUGUUUUAAGAAGAGAGAUUAAACUUUUAUUCAAUAACUACUCCUUAUGCGUGUAUAUAAGUUGUAUUAGUAAAAAAAUAAAAAUAAUUAAUACGCAUAUUUCAUCUUUCAAAAAAUUCAUAUUUAAUAAAUUAGACAAUACAAAUAAAUAACAAAACUGCAUUAAUGAUUACAAGAUCUAGCAAAACAGACUAAUCAUCUUUUUUCAUAUGAUGUUUGCUAUGAUUCUUGUGAUUUUGAACAGAAAAAUUUUCUAAUUUUGCCUUUUUCUUCCUCCUUCCUCCAUUAGGUAAAUUUUUUUGAAUAUAUAUCUAAUGGAGGAAAGAGGGAAAAGAAAGGUAAAAUUCAAAUUUUGAUGUUCAAAAUCACAAGAAUCAUAACAAAACAUUAUGUCAAAAGAGAUGACUAAUCUGUUUUUUUUAAUCUUGUGAUCAUUAGUAUAGUUUUGUUGCUUAUUUAUGUUGUUUAAUUUAUUAAAUGUGAACUUUUUGAGCGGUGAAAUGUGUAUACUUAUUGUUUCUAAUUUUUAAUUAUUUUACUACUACAAUUUAUAUACAUGCAUAAAGGGUAUUUAUAGAAUAAAAGUUUCGUUUCUCUUUUUAAAGUACAUUUUAAUGUUAUUUUUUGGACUAAUUUUAUUAUCAAAAUCUUAACCUCGAGGGAGAUUUAUGUAAUAUUGUAAAUUUCAAGAAAGACUAGUGAAUUUGUUAGAAACCUCAGAGGAGGUUUCUGAAAUUAUCCCAACAUAAAUUGAUAUGGCUCUCAAAAUUUACGGAAACUCAAACCCUCAUGACUAUUAUCCACCUCAUUGGUUCCUUUAUAUACGUGCGUGUGUGUGUGUGUGUGGUUGGCUGAAAAAAUCUCGUUGGAUGUGCGAUCUUUUUAAUUAGGAUAAUGGUUAUUUUAUGGUAGCUGGUAACCAAUCCACAGUUUUAAAAUUUAUUAGACUAAUAGAACUUAUUUAAACAAUUAGGAUAUGAUGUUUAAUUUAAAAAAACUGCAAUUAUCCGAACUUACCUGCAUAUGUAUAGAGUUGGUUACAAUGACUAAUUCUUGUAUCUAUAAUUAUUAGUUAUAUGAUACUAAAUUCAGUUAGGAGACCCAUUAUACAUCUAUCAUUUUUUCCACAAAUUUUGAACUUCACUCAUUAAUCCUAACUCCCUUCUACCAUUUCCAAACCGUUCAUUCAUCGCCACUAACUCAUGCGCUUUACUAUUAUGUUGUUCCUUUCUUUUGUUGUAUACAAUUAAUUUCCUUAUAAAAGCAUAUUAUUAGUAUCUAUAUUACCAUAUGAUUAAAAUUAUUUUUGAAUAACAAUCAUAAAAGUAUUAAGUUUUCUUUUAACCAAAUUUCUUAUAAUAAACCAAUUCUUAGUUUCUUUAAUUACUAUAACUUUAAAAUAGCAACUAAGGUGACAUUAUAUAUGUUACAUAUGAAAUCAAAGACAAAGAAAACCAAAAAAAAAAAAAAAGAAACUGCCAUAAAAAUUGAAAAAAAUUUCAACCUUGAUUUUGAAUAUCUCACACUGAUAAUAAAUAAAACGGCAUAGAGUUUAAUUUUCAUAUUUUUCUAAUUUGGAUAUGUUUUGUAUUGUUUUCAAUGUUAAUUUAAUUAUAUUUUUUCAUUUUUAAUCUCAGUGUUGGAUAACUCUAUGUCCCUGAUCCUAUUCCAUAACUUUAGAAUAUGGAAUAAAAUUUUUGCUAUUAGUAUCUACGAAAUUAUAAGGAGACUGGUUACUUGGUCCAUGAACACUUCUACUCGAGCCUUCUACAUUGUACAAAUAUUAUUACUAUAUUAAUUACUAAAUAAAAAGUAAUUAAUUACUACAUUGUACGAAUAUUAUUACUAUAUUAAUCACUAUAAAUAUCAUGUAUACAUCACAAAAGCUAUUCAUGAACAAGACCUUUACUAUAUUGAUACCUUUUUCUAAUUACUCUUUUUUUUGAAUAGCUCCUACCCCUCUUUGUACUUUUUCAACCCUCAACUGUCAGAUUCAGAAUUCGAACCUUGAAUUUAGAAACUAUAAGAGUCAUUCCGUAAGACACUGGACCUUCUCUAAUUACUCAUUUCUGAGAACUCUCUAAUUUCAAAAACUGAUUUAAUCAUCGGAGUGAUUCUUGGGACUUGACUUAUAUGUGUUGGUAGUUCAUUCUUUUAUGUAGGUCAUAUCCAUCCAAGUCGAGCUAUCUUAGCCCAACUUAGUUCAGUUUGGCACUAUUAUUUAAGGGUGCAUUUGAUAAAUUUGAAGUAUGAAAACUGAAAUAUGAAAUUUGAAUCCAUAAGCUAUUAAAUUGUUAAGUAUUAAAUUUAAUACAUUUGAGUGUACAUGACAUUCAGUGAUAAGUGAAUAGUUUAUCACUUAUUUCGAGAGCAAGUUUUAUCUAAAAAAAUCUAAUGCCGUUUAAUUAAUUUAGAUAUUCAAUUUUUAGUUAUCAAACGCAUCGGAACAUAUUAAGAUCUGAAUCCAUUAAAUUUAAAUGCUGAAUUGGAUUAUCAUAUAGGAUCUAAGUGUUUUUAUAGCUCUCUUAGUUUAAUUUUUUUAUAACACGUGCAACUCAUUUCAAAAUAAUAUUAAAAACUCAUUUUAGAAGAGAGAAUAUAAUCUCAUUCCAAAUAUUUCAAAUUUGCCAUUUUAUUGUCUUAGUUUGUAGUACAAGAACGUGAUAGAACUAUAGGAGGAGGAGGAGGAUCAUAUUAUUAAUAAUCAGGGACUUUGAAACUUCUUCUUCUUUUUUUUUUUAAAGCACAGUUAUCUUUUUGAAACGUUGUUCUUCAUUUGCAUUUCAAUUCUUGACAAAUUUUGUUCAAAAAGAUGGAUGCAAGCUCACCUGGAAAAAUCGUCGAUCAAUGACACGUAUAUGCGAGUUCAGGACAUAGUACCUUGUAACGACAAAAUACAAGUCAACGUCAUAAUUUACUAGCAUAUUGUAUCAGAUUGAAUUUUCCGUAAACUAUUCCUACCGAAUGACUGACAGAGCUGCAUCCCCUGUGGGGUUUCUAUCCCACAUCGGUUCGGGGGGGUUUGGGGUUUGGGUUUAUUAAGGUCUGCGGGAGCCUUCAAAAGUUGCCGGCUUUUGAAGGUUUCUCGCAGGUCAACUUUAGUAACGAAAAAGUCUGAGUUUCUCAGUCAUCGGAAAAAGACAGAAACCUCGGGGAGGUGAUCUCUCCAUUUCAGUGGGUGUCUGGGGGGUCUUUACUUCUUAGCAGCGGGGGCACCCCUGUGGGGUUUCUAUCCCACAUCGGUUCGGGGGGGUUUGGGGUUUGGGUUUAUUAAGGUCUGCGGGAGCCUUCAAAAGUUGCCGGCUUUUGAAGGUUUCUCGCAGGUCAACUUUAGUAACGAAAAAGUCUGAGUUUCUCAGUCAUCGGAAAAAGACUGACAGAGCUGCAUAAGACACAUUCCAAUUUCAGGCUACUACGCAAGUAGCCAGAAAAUCAAAGGUGCCGGGUAACCACUAGGCCAAUGGCUCAGUGACCACCAGGGAGGGACUUAAGUUCCUCCUUGGACUGUUGGUGAGAGUUCAAACCUCAUCAGUAGUAAAAAAAAUUUAAGGGUUGUGUCAUAGCACUCUCUUGAUCUAAUUGGAUCUGUAUACCCACUAGCCCUUAUUACAGCCUCCUUAGGCUCCCCCUAGAUUAUGAUAGAGUAGGUUAUACAAAUGUAUUUUUGCUGACAAAAAAAAAUAAAAAUCAAAGGUGCAAGGUGGCUUUGUGGGUGGGGGGAGGGGGGCCCACAGUCUCCCUACUAGGGGGGGUGGGAGGGUGCGGUCCUGAUUCUUGACUGCGAGGGAUAAUGCCAAGAGCAGCUUGGUGUGCCGCAUUCUUGAUUUUUGGAAAGAGUAGGGAAGAGAAGGUUUAUUUAUUAAAUUAAUUUUAUAUGCACUCACGAACAUGAAUAUAUGUUAUUAUCUCAAUAUGAAUUUCAACUUCAAUUCUUAUACAUAUAACAUCCAUUCAUAUUGCCAAUAUAUAUAUAUAUAUAUCUGUAUAUGCUAUAAGUAUAUAUAGGAUUAAUUCUUAUUUAAAUCAAAAUUUGCUUCCAUUCACAAUAUAUAAGUUAGUGUUUACGCUCUAUUUACCUCUUAUAAAUAAUUUAGAUGUAGAAGAGCAUUCUCACCGAAAGAAUUGUUAUUCGUACCAUUAAGUGUAGCCAAGAUGACAUAUCACUCGUACUUAUUCCAUUUGUUAGAAGAUGACAUAUCACCCGUAUUGGCUCGAUGGAAAAACGAACCUCCAUGCUCAAGCUGAUACAACCAUUAGCCUUAGGCAAGUGGCCACCACCAAGCCAUAUUCAAACUUUACCUCCCAUCAAUUUGUCAUAUUUGUGGUUCUUCAAAAAAUUCAGACGGGUGAUCCGGUGGUGGUUCUGUCUCCAUCGAUCUCCCAUAGAUCCAGUUGGAUCUCCCCCUAAUUAGAUUAGGAUAGAAUAGGAGUAGGAGUAGAGAUGACGAUUGAAGAAAAAAUAAAAAUGCUCAAGCUGAUACCAUCAUCAUCAUCACAUACACACAUACGUGUAUAUAUACGUGUGUGUGUAUAUAUAUACACACAUGGGCCCAUGUGUACACGCACAUGGGCACCUACUUUCAAGUUUCCAGUAGGAAGCAAAAAAAUGAGGACAGAGGGAAAAACGAAAAAAAAGGGACCAAUGAAGCCUACUUUUCGGCUGGUGCUUGCGAUGUACUUAUCUCCGGACCCUUGCCAUUCUGGACCAAACUACACGGGUUAGGAUUACCCUACCGUAUGAUGCAACAUGUAACACUUGUGAUACCGAAAGUGUUUGAGUUAAUUUCAUUUUGUCCCCUCAAAAAACUAUAAGUCAAAUUUCACUUCAGUCUCUGAAUUUUAUAAUGAAACACUUAAGUCCCUAAACUAUAAGAUGUGUUCCAGUUAAGUAAAUUCGGUAACGGGAUAAAAAAAAUUGAUGGUGUAUUAAGAGUGUGAACAGCACCUUCGUGUAGCAUGAUUGUGCAAGUGUUACAAACCAAAAAAAUAGGGACAUAAAAGUAAUUUCAUCUUUUGUAAGUGUUAUAAACCAAAAAAGGGACAUAAAAGUAAUUUCCUUUUUUUUUGGUCUUUUCCUUCUUCAUCAUUCUUUUUUUUUUUGUUUUUUCCUUUUCUUCUUCUUUCAUCUUGCCCUUUUCUCAACUUUUCCGGCCAAUAUCAAGAAAAAAAGGAUGGAGUUCACUGAAAAGAACCCAACCAAUUGAUGCAAUAGGCAACCUCCUAUCCUUUCCCCCUAUAGUUGUCAUUGACUCUCCAAUUUUUUCUUCCCUAAGUAGCAUUAUCACCAACAGCAGUAGCUUCUUCAUUGGAUCUGAACUGCUGCCGAAGUUUGACCCGAUCCAAGUGGUGCAAGUGUUCGUUUGGAUUACUGGCGGCGAAGUUGGAGCAGCGAGUUCACUAGCUCCCAAAAUCGGCCCGCUCAGUCUCUUCCCCAAGAAAAUUGGGGAAAAGAAACUACAAAGGAUUGGAAAAGGCCUCUAGGUCAUCUUUAUGCUCAUCGCCCAAAAUCGUCAGGCCAAAAAAGAAAAUUUCAAGUAGAAUGCAUAAUUUAGACUACAAAAUUGGGGAUGUGAACUAAAUUGUCUAAAAGAUGAAAACAAAUUGAAGGUGUACUUGGUUGAGAUUUCGAAAUUGAUAUCACAAUUGGAUUCAAAUACAGAAGGUUAGUAUGCUUUAGUAAAGGGGGAAAAAAUAUGGGAAUUGCUAUCCAAUAAGUUUCUUGCCUUUUCUUUCAGUAUUCUUUCACUCAAUAAAACCUUCAAGGCCACUGUAACCUCCAUGGAAGAUCCCAUACCAACAGAUCCAAAAACAAAUUUCAAGCUUCAAGUUGAAAUUUUUUUUAACUUCUUGAUGCAUGUUUUAUCCCUGGAAUCUUUGAUAUUGAAAAGAAACAUAGAAAAGUAGGAAAUUCGAUGAUGGCUAAAGCGGACAGAGAUCAGCCAUUAUCAAAAAGAGGGGAGAGUCAAUAUUAAGAAUGGAUUAAUGGUGAUGGGUUUUGGUGACCAGCAAAAUGCGGGGGCGGAAAAGGGAUUGGAAAUAGUGGGGUGGCGGGGGUUGGAAGGGGAGAGGUUAGAGAGUGACAGCGGUGGAAGCUGGGGUGGUAGAGGUGGGGAUGCGACUGGGAAGGAUGGGGAAGACGAAGAAUAAGGACAAAAAAAAAAAAAGAAAAAUGGAAGGACAAAGAAGAAGGAAUUAAAAAAAGGUAAAAUCAUCUUAUGCCCCUAUUCUUUUGGUUUAUAUAGUUACACAAUCACACAUUAAUGGAGUGUGUUCUUCACACUCCUAAUACACCAUUAAUUUUUUGAAUUCCAUCAUUGAUUUUGCUUAAUUGGAACACAUUCUAUAGUUUAGAAAUUUAAGUGUCCCAUUUUAAAAUUCAAGAAUUAAAGUAGAAUUUCAUGUAUAAUUUGGAGGGACAAAAUGAAAUUAACCCAAAAGUGAAUUGACUGAUGCUCUUUGUCAGAGAUUGGAAGACGAGGCAAACUUAGAAACAUAAUAGUUCAUCAUCUCAUCGGUGAGCUGCGUCCGAGAUUGUGAAUUUAUUGAUGCUCUUCGCCCCAAUUUAAACAAGAGAAAGGGCCAAAAUGUGAAACAAAAAUCAAAACGCCGACUCCCAGCUAAAACAGAUACAAGCCAUUGCUUACCCCAAUUUCUGCUCGCACACAAGAAGACCUUAGCAAUCCAAGAAUAUCUGUUCAAAAAAGGUAGCAAGGCAACCUUCAAAGAAAUGCGGACACGAGUGGUAUUUUAAAAGGGGAAAAAAAUUGAUUCUCAUGUUCACACCCACUUUAAUGUUUGUUUAGGCUUAUAGGAAAGAUGCUUGCUAAGGCUCUUUACUCCAUGGGGAGUUUUCGCGGGCUUGCCUCUGCCCCAUUUGUCUGUGUGACAAAUUACACACGUUGAGGAUAGAAAAUCAGCUAAUAGCAUUCAAAGGAGAAACAAAGCUGAUGUGCAAAUGUUUUACCCUUUUCCAAGUCUAUAGCUAAAAAAAAUGUCUAGAUGUAUACACUAGAGGAGUAUCGUGCUCGAAGAUGGUAAGUAGGGCGAAAUAAAGGACAUCAGACCAAAAACUCAUCUCGUCCACCUUGUUUCUGCAAAAAGCAGACAGGUUAGUUGACCCAAUCUACAAGAUGACUGACAAUUUUGUAUGGUAUGUAUCAGCAACAUAAGCUACAAAGCCGUCUUCACCACAGAUGACAAUUUUCAUUCUAUACUUGGCUACUCAAUUUUCAGAUUACCUACAGCUGAAGAAGUGUAUCUAAAUACAAAAUAAAAAGAAGUCAUAGCUUACAAUCUGCACAACAGUGACAACAAAGCUUCUAAAGCCUCUGAUACAGGCAAAUGAAUAAUCCAGUAAUUGGCCAUUAAACAUUGGGCAGCAUUGCAAAUGGGAUGCUUCUCACCAAGGUUGGCCCUUUCCUCCAAGACGUCGUGCCAAUUCCCAAUCUUUUUUCACUGAGUGGCAAGAAGCAAAAGAAGAUUCAAUAUUCUUCAAAUACGAGAACCAAAAUUAUCAGCAUCAAUGUCCAAAGUGCACACAGAGGGAUCCACUAUGACUUGGAACUGAGAAAAAAAAAUGGAAAUCUGAAAAUGGAUUUAUUUGUUUAUCACUUUAGAGCUGGAUGAGUAGUCGUAGCUCAGGAACCAAAGUACUACUCAUGGGCCAGGUACUAGAACCAGUGCUUCAAACUGUCAUAUACAGUCCAAAAUGUGAACACUUGAUUACUUUGAGUUACAAAUAGAGUAGAUGACAACAGUCAUAUAAAUAGCAAGUGUUAUGACAAUGGAAACAAUGCUUCAAAAAACUUCCAUAAAACUCACAAAUGAAUUACCACUCAGAAACAACAAAUUGAGGACAUUCAAGAAAGACCAGAACUUACUAAGUGUUACGCGCUUUGCAUGGAUUGCACAUAGCAUUGCAUCCUCAAACAACUGAACCAGGUAAUCCUCUGCAGCCUAUGAGCGGAGUGAAAUAAUCCCCAGUGGUUAUCCACUAGUGUUGAUGAAUGAAGAAAAUGUAUUUUACCAUAUACACUGAUCAAAAACCAAUAAAAAAUAAAAACCACACAAAUAAUCCCCAGUGGUUAUCCACUAGUAUGUAUUUUACCAUAUACACUGAAUAGUGAAACUGAAAAUUAAAAACAAUAAAAAAUAAACUGUCUACACAUAAACCACGCAAAUUACUGCAACUACUAAGACAACCAAAACAUUGGAAAGACAAACCUAUCAAUCUAAAAUCUUUCUUACCUCCUGAAGUGCCACCAAGGCUUCAGCUGUCCAACGAGUAACAUCUAGUGUAUAAAAGUUGCUAAUUUCUUUCACCUAGAUUAUAAGUAGUAAUCAGAACCUACAAUUGGAAUGAAGAACAAAGCAAGGAGUAUACAACUUCCUUUACUGAAUAAAAUGACAGUCACAGACAGUAAAAGAAAGAUAGAAAGUGCAGGGGAUACAUGUUGAAAAGCAAAGAAGAAAUUGCUCUAAGGUUUCGUUUAGUUCUUAAGUUUCGCCUUUAUGUCUUAGAAAUCUGAAAUCCUGGAAAUGAUAUUCCAGGAAUUCCAGAUCCAGUCUGAAAUAGUUUUUCUUAUGAUGUUGGUUUCACCAGAAAACUGACAAGAUAUCUGGGAAAAAAAAUUAUGUGCACAUUAAGAAUGAAUAAGUUAUCUCUAAUGUUAUCCUACUUACUUGUCACCCCAAAACUAAUUAUCUCACCUCCAUACGAUCCAAUAGAAGUUAAACAAAAUCUAAAGUUGCAUUAGAUUAUCCCCCGUACAAACUUAGCCACACAAGGGAAAAUACAAAAUGAGUAAUUCAAUCACAUCUAAUGCUGUCUAAUAUUAUGAACCAAAAUGCGUCAUGACCAUAACAUCUGGAUCAUUUGAAAUGCAAGACAGCCCAAAAAGCUACAAGGAAUUCUAUACUAUCUCUAGCACUUGAAAUUCAUUGUUUUAAAAAAAUAUACUUAGCAUAUCAUAGCUGUAACUGGAAUUUGCAAGGUAUUGGAAAUGUAAACUCUUUCUUUGCCAGUUUAUUUCUAAUUCCUAACUCAAUCACGGAUUCAAAAUGAUCAAGCCGUCAAAUUCACAAUCUCCAAACCAACAAAAAUAAUUAUAGUCAUAACAAUAAUAAUAACCCCAUAACAGUGAUAACAACAAACUAACAAAGUUAAACAUACAGCCUUCUUACACGCCCAUGGCAAAUCAUGACCAAGAUGCAAAUCAUGCAAAUACAUAUGCAUAUAAUGGAUAGGGCGUGUAUGGAAAAAUAAGAAGAGAGACUAAAUCUGGACCGACUGUAUCUGCAUGCAUACUUGGAAUCCUGGUUGAAAGACAUCUAUAGCCAGGAGGAGCAAACUCAAAGCAAUUAUAUGACAUCAUCAGACCUUAUUCAAGAAAACUAAUUUGCUCUACUUAGCACUCAUAUUUUUACUUUGUAGUCAUAUUUGCACACAAAUAUCUACUAACACAUGACAAGCACAGACAUCUUCAAACAUUACUCAGUUCAUGAAGUUGUCAGUGUACACUACGAAUUGACAAUUAGUUGAAGCGUUCAUUGAUGACGUGCUUUCAAAAACAAGAGCUUAUGCUGAUUUAGUGUAGGAGAUGUACCCUACAACAUCAACAGUGAUGCCCAUGAGUUAGUUAAUCAACAUUCACUAUUCUAAUUUUCUAGCAGAAAACAAGUUUACUGAAGCAAUUAAUCAAAAAACAGAGUCAUAACCCGACAACAAUACAACUGACAACGUCAAGAUCAUGACCUACAGAAAUUCAACUACAUAUACAGACAAGACUGCUGUAGAAUGACAUUGCAGAAUCCAAUUAUCUCUUACAAAAUUUGGGCAAGAUAUAUUCAAAGCUCCGUUACAACAGUUAAAGCCUCAAACAUCAGAACUAUGAGGAUGCAAGUACCCGUAUUUGUAGAGCAGCUCAAAGUUCACAUGUGUUAAGACAUGAAAGGACAAACUUUACUUAGCUGUCAAUGCUUUCGGGAAGUGGGUUCUAGGUCGACUUUCAGCCUAAUAUCCCCAAACUAUAUGUUUCAUAUGAAACUAUUACAAGAUUUCGAAAAUAUAAAACACCUAAUAUAACAUUAAUUAAAAAAUCUAGUACAGAUCUUUAAGUAUGCAUAUAAACAGGUUGCCCCACUCAUCGGCACACUCACAAGCAUGAAUCCUGGACAAGCCUAUAGAGAAAAACAGAAACAAAGCGGAAAAUUACAAGUCUAAUGAAAGGAGCAGCAGGAAUGAGGAGUUUCCAAGUCCUCUGGAAAUGCCGAAUUUCCCUAAGAGCCACCGUCCCUGGCCUGUGCCGAUAUUUCUUUUUCUGCCUUCCCGCCUGUCUCGGACCUUUAAUCGAACACAUAAGAAACCAAAAUCAACAUUUCCCCCAAAACCAGCCCUCACCUAUAAUUCUCUGAAGAUAUACUGAGUUCACAUUUCCACUAAAAAAGGGGAAAGAAAAUUUCACAGAAGAAAAAUUUAACAACUUUCUAGAUUUCGCUCACUUGUUUUUGCUGCUGGGCUCCUCGGACUUCUCCUCGUAGGCGUCUGUUAACUCCAAAAAUAUAUAUACAUAUACAUAAAACAAAUUAGUCAAACGGCGUAGUAAUGCGUCUAAAAAAUGGAGAGAGGGAGGGAAGUGAAAAGGAGUACCGCAGCAGCGGAAGAAGUGGCGGUUCCGGCAGUGGCGACGCCUGAAAAUUGACAGGGGAAAAAAUAAAAUUAGGGUUUAAACAAAAAAAAGAAAAGAAAAGAAAAGAAGAAUCAAUUACUGAAAAUUCAGAAAAAGAACGAAGAGAUGGGAAGAAAGGAAUAACCGGUGGGUUUAGUAUGAUUUCGGGUUCGUGAAGCCGGGUGUUUGGUUCUCGCCAUCAAUUUUACUUUUUUUUUUUUUUGGUUUCUUCUUGUUUUGAAGUAGUACUAGUAGAAUAAGGAGGUGGAGGGAAAUUGAUGAAAGUUGAAUCGAGUUGUGAGUUGCAACGGUAGGAUAAUCUUGGGUUUCCCGCUCGAUUUCAGUUUCGAUUUUGGUGCUGUAGUUGUUUCGGUUUGGGUUUGGGUAAAACCCGUAUCGUCUCUGAUGGUGAUGGGUUUCCCGGCCUUUUGUAAUCCCGUUUGGCAAGUAAGUUUUUUGAGUGUUUGUUUAAAAUUUUACUGUAAUUUAUUGUAGAAGUUUUUAAAAAAAUUGUUGAAGUGUAUUUUUUUUGAAUAUUUUGAAGUGUAGAGUUUAAAAAUUUUGAGAAAUUUUUUGAGAUUAUUGUAGCUAAAGUUUUUAAAAAACUUGUAGCAGAUAAACUUGACAAAAAACUUGUCUGCCAAUACACUAAUACGUGGCUUAAAAGUUCAUUACUACUACAAUUACGUGUUUAGAUGCUGCUACUACUAUACUUGUUAAGCUAUAAUGACAUUUGUGUCAUGGAUCCUACUAGGAUUUGUUUGAUGAUCUCAGAAGGGCUUUGAUGAUUAAGUUUUAGGCAAAGAUUACUGCAACUGGUUAAUUUGAAAUUGAUUUUGCCCCCCUCCCACCUAAGGAACAGCUUCAUAAUCAAUUGCUUUUUGGCACUGUUUUAUUCAUAAGUAACCAAAGGUAGUACUCCUCAUAGAUGGUUCUUAAGCCUUGCAUGUUUGAUCAUAUUUUCUCAUCUUCAAUUUAUGCAUAGUUAGAUUGAUAAUAGUGUAUUGUGUCUGCGAAUCUCACAAGGCAUAAGGUGAAAAAUAGAUUAUAGGAGUCUUUUGAUUCUCCUUGUAGGGCUGCUGUCCCGGCGAGUCGAGUCAUUCGCAAUUAACUUGCCAGCAGCUUUGUCAAAUGCUCAACUUGAACUUGAUCGGUAGCUCGAUGCAUAUAACAAGUCAAGUUCGAACCUUCAUUUGUGCAAUUCGAGUGCUCGUCGAGUAGCUUGAUUAUUAGUAUAUUAUUUAUCUUAUAUUCUAUUUUAAUUAUGAAAUGACUAAUAAAGAUUUAUGUUUUAGGUAAUUUACCAUAAAUGUUGUCUACUCAAUAAAAUUUAUAAAUGGCAAAAAAUGUGAUAUUGUAAUAACUGAAAAAGAAAUGAGAAUUUUAGAUAGCUUACCAUAAAUUUUUGAGCUUAUUUUUUUCGAGUUUUAUUUUGCGCCCUAGAACUUGUUAAAGUUUGAGACUAGUCUCAAGCUUCAAGUAGCCGAGCUCAAGCUUGGAAAUGCAUUUUGUUGAGUUGAGUCGAGUUAUAUAAUUUUUUGUCCGCUCGAGUUCAAACAGCCUCAUAUAGCAUCGAGUUCGAACUCUAGCAUAGCAGUACGCGAACUCAACUCGACUCAUUAACACCCUUACUCCCAUGUAGUCUAAAAUUGUGAAAACAUGCAACAAAAUAAGAAACAUGAGAACAAAAGAAAUCUCCCCUUUCAGACUGAGCUGGGCUCUUUCAUGACAUAAAUUUCUCGCAAUUGAAAUCCAUCUAAUCCUCUGCUUUCAUGUUUCUGCAUAUAACACCUCAAGAUUCAGAAAAGAAAAAGUUUUAUUAGAUCACAUCUUCAGAGAGAGACCACGCAUUGAACAUUGCGGAUUCAUGCACAGAGCCAUUUUUUGCCUGCAGAUGCGAUGGCCUGCUUGCAGCUGUCAGUCUAUGUAUUGCUUGACAAUUACACAAUCCCAAACAGUCCACCGGACCCGGCAGGUUUUGAUGAAUUGUGCACAUAGUAAGAUGCCCGAAUCAGGCAUAUUUCAAAGACGCAAUUAGGAAUCCCUUGUUUAACACCAGACACUUCUAAGUUGUGGACUGUAAGAGCAUGGAUACGAAGGAAAUGUAACGAUACUAGCAUUCAAGCAUCAUCAACUUUCUUCAUUCACCCUUUGCUUACUGUCCGUUUCUCAUGAGUUUAAGAUGGUGAAAUCAAGCACAUCAGUAAACCCAAAUAGAUCUAAACCUAACCACACAACAUAUAAGAUGUUACUCCAAACCAGAGAUGCCGCAACUAACUUAAGUAUCGUCAACUGAUGGAAAUCGUGUCCCUGGAUCUUUCACUUAGGUAAUCACAAGUUCAAAAAUUUUCAGCGAGCAGCACAUAUUGAAGAAUUCAUGAAGUAGCUCUGCCAUGUCCCGACUCAAACCUGCAUUUUAAGUGCCUGAAGCUUAAAAAUUUGCACUUCAAACUUUAUGGUUGUGCAGGCAUAGGAGAUGCUGGAGGCUUCAGAUCCGGAUACUGCAAUUGGAUGAAAAAAAUGGCAGAAAAAAGAGGCAUUAAUGAACUUCAUCAAAUUGUUUGCAGAUCAACUUGGACGGUAAAAAACAAAAAGAUUCGUUCCUAGGAGGGGAACAGCAGGGAUAACUGAAGAUAUUUGGUUUCCCUCCAUUGCUAUAACCUUUAAACUGAAACCGUCCGACACAUAUUUUCUUUACCCAUUGACUUUAUCAAGUACCAAAAUUUGCUGCCAAGUGUUGGCUUGAGGGAGGAACAUCCUUUUGUGCUAUCAGAUGGCCAGAAGAUAAUGACCAGUUGGUUACAGGAAGAUGUGCCUGCUGAGGGGCUUGCUUUGUUGCAUAAACAUAAAUAUCAUUAGACAACCGCAAAGAACUUACAUUAGGGUAAGGAGAAAGAGGUCUUGAAAUUCCAGGCAGUGAAUCUGUUUCAACUUCUGCUUUAGGAACUGAAUUGAUUUCUGCUGUUGGCUCUGCGACUGCUUCUACUUUAGAUGGCGCAUCACUCAC
Molecule: long non-coding RNA, 53575 nt
Filed under: Coffea arabica (coffee)
Lineage: Eukaryota; Viridiplantae; Streptophyta; Magnoliopsida; Gentianales; Rubiaceae
Description: long non-coding RNA (CARA_LNC002042)
Source: RNAcentral